This 59065-nucleotide long non-coding RNA is filed under the name Sorghum bicolor (sorghum). RNAcentral describes it as "long non-coding RNA (SBIC_LNC013598)". The stretch from base 29323 to 29429 matches the Rfam family "Plant small nucleolar RNA R71". Lineage: Eukaryota; Viridiplantae; Streptophyta; Magnoliopsida; Poales; Poaceae. The record is from RNAcentral.
AAGAAGAGGCUGGCCACCAGCGGCGCCAACUUUGCGCGCGCCUACACCGUCGAGUUCGGCAGCUGCACGUUCCCCUACAACUUCACUGGGUGCCAGGACCUCGCCAAGCAGAAGGUUGUUCACAUAUUCUCAUCACACUCAUAAGAAACUUUUUAUUUUUCGAGAACAAGUUCGCUGAUGUGUGUUUCAUUGAGAGGAGAUCGAUACUCAUAAGAAACCUCACCUGAUCGAUCGAUAAUAAUCUGAAUUAUUGAUUUCUUCGAUCUCAUGUUGUGCCAUAUAGAUAUCAUGUGUGUCGUCCGUGCUUGCUUGUGUUGUUGCAGAAAGUGCCCUUCAUCACCGACGACCUCGAGAUCGAGUGCGAGGGGAAGGAGAAGUUCAAGUGCGGCUCCAACGUUUUCUGGAAGUGGGGUGAAGCAAAAUGAGGAGGCGACCUGGUGGUGUACAUGUACGUGUGUGUGUACCUAGAUGUGCGCCCAAACUGCAGGAAGAAUUUGGAUGUGUAAUUGUGGUCAGUGUAUUUGUGUCAUCUCAUCAUCUGAUUGAUCAUCAUGAACCUCUUGCAUUAAUUGGGGAGAGUGAAUUAUAGUAUUUUGUCCUUGAUCGCCUUCUCGUUUCAUAGGCGCUUAUGAGUUUUCCCUACAAAACACGACAAAAGAAAGAUAUAAUUUUUCUAUUACGAUAAGCCCUGGAACUCGAUUAAUAUGCUGCUCAAAUUUUAUAUAUUUGUUGAGCACUUAACGAUCUCAAAUGACAAAAAUCAGUACUAGGAAUAUGUGGAUCUCAUCAAGGGUUAUAAUUUUGAUAUACAAAGUAUCUUUAUCUGACACCAUGCAAGAAAAAUAUAAUUUUUCUAAUAUAAUAAUUAAUAUGCUUCCCAAACUUAAUACUCCCUCCAGACUUGUAAAAGAAAUCGUUUUGGAUAGCGACACAGUCUUCAAAUCAUAACUUUAACUCCUUAUUUUUAUAAAAAAAUAUUUUGAAAACUAUAUAUUUUAUGAAAGUACAUUUCAAGACAAUUCUAUUUAUAUGACUUUUAUAUUUCCAAACUCAAUAACUUAAAAAUUAUUCAUGAUUUCCAUUCCCAAUAUUUAACUCAAACCUUGUCAAAAUGACUUCUUUUACCAACCUGGAGGGAGUAUAAUUUUUUUAGCAUCUUAACGAUCUCAAAUAAAAAACUCAAAAACUAGAAAUUAAUUGUAGAUCUUGAUUGAAUCUAUAAAUUCCUAGUUGAGCUUUGUCAUUUGAGAUUGUUAAGAUGAUAAAAAGAUAAUAUAAAGUUUGAGCAGCAUAUAAUUGCAUACCAGGCUUUGUUGUGUUAAAAUUUAUAUCUUUCUUAGAUGGUGUCGGAUAAAACUACUUUGUACAUGAAAAUUAUAAUGCCCAAUGCGAUCUACAACUUUCUAAUUUUGAGUUUUACCAUUUAAAGUUAUUAAGAUGCUCAGAACAAUAAUAUAAUGUUUCAGCAGCAUGCCAAUCGUGUUUCAUACCAUUUUUUAGAACAUCUAAACAACUCCAAAUAAAAACUAAAAACUAAAAAGUACUUUUCAGCGGUGUUUUUCUCUCAUAACAAUUCAACGAAUAAUAUUUUUGAGUAUCAGUAUAAGCAAAAUUUCAGCGAGCGCUACAACUUUCAUGUACAAAGUAUCACCGUACAUAAAAGACUUGAUUUUUUUUCUAAGAUGACAUGCCCCCGUACGUGAUUGAUAUGCUAUUGAAAAUGUAUAUUAUUUUUUAGCAUCUUAACAAUCUUAAAGAGAAAAAAAAUCAAUACUAUAGGAAGUUGUAUCUCACACUAGUAGACAGGCUCAUAGCUGGCGCCUCCUUUUUAUACCACAGACGGUUCCAGUUACGACACGCUUCUGGUAUAAAUAGGACGGUGUCAGAGAUUUUCGGCCGCCUGUGCAAACGUUUUUCACAGGCGGUUGACUUAAGCCAACCGCCAGUGUAAAUGCUUCAUUUACACUGACGGUUGGCUUAAGUCAACCGCCUGUGAUAAACUAUUUCCACAGGCGGUUGGCUUAAGCCAACCGCCAGUGUAAAUGCCAAAGAGUUUUCAGCAUAGUCAGCAAACUCAAAUUUGUUUUUGGAAAGAAGACAAAAGAUGGUGUUGAUGCAAAACUAAUCUGCAAACACAAAGGGCUAAUACCCGAUUCAAACGUUAAGGCGUGCCAGCCGAUUUGACCUUACUAUCGGCAAAGGUGAUAACUCGAAUACUUUAGUCCUGACAACAGCGAUGCGCCCGGAUGUCACGGCUAAGAGGUACUCACACGGAACUUAAGGAUACGCCGAGCUUGAGUCGACGAAUUCCUAAGAACUCGUAACAAAAAGAAAACGUAUGACGAAGUCGUCGAAAAGUAAAUGCUAGAAUAUGAGUAAAAACGUGUGUUUGAUUGAUUGAUAGAUGUCCCGAUUACAAGGUCUUAGGGCUUAUAUUUAUACCCUGCUCAAAGAGCUACGACCAGACACGAUUAGAAUUCGAAUUCCAAAUUACACGGAACCCGUAUACAAAACGAUAUGAAUAACAUAAGGAAAUAAUAAAACCAUCCUUCGUGACAAACCGAAACUCCUCUACAUGACAACUGGCAGCUUCCGGACUCCUCCUUCGCGUCAUCGGCAAUCCCCUUGCCAUAGUCAUCGGCAGACCCUUUUACUUGGUCAUCGGCACCAUAUUACUGUCUGAGGACUUAGCCACGUUCAACCUUUCCCUCAUCGGUAACCAUCCUUACCAGCAACCCGCAUCGUACUGCCACCCUGUCCUGCCAUCCUGGACACGUGCCCAAAAAUGGUGUCAACACAUGCCCCCCAGUUUCGGAGUAUAAAACUAUUAAUGCUCCGAAAUUCUCUGCAGUAAUGAUGUCUUCUCCGCAAUUAAUGCUCCUAACCUGGUAACCGACAACCUCAAUCUGGGCAACUCUGAUCCUAAUCCUCCGCAGAUCCCUCGAAAUCCACAACUUCCCAAACGGGCAUCUCUCUUAGUCGUACAUCGGCAACAAUACCGUUACAAAGAUCUGCCGAUGCUCUGCCCAGGAUAUUCGCAAAAACGGUUACUUUCCCUCUAUCCGUCCAUCGGCAGGACGACCGUUAUAGAAUAUCACCGAUGGACCGACCAGGAGAUCGCGCACAGUAAAAUAUCUUUAAAUAAUGACCGCUUCCUGUCAAAUCACCUGCACAAUCCCUGGAUUAUCGUGCGAACAGUUACCAUAUCCACUUGAGUACCCUCGGGUUUCUCGGAUGCGGCAAAGAAAUAAGUCAGAUUUGCCCUUGUCCAUCUUGCCCUAUAAAUAGUUCCUUCUUGGGUACUCCUCCCCCAUUACAUCAUUCUGCCAUCCAACUUCACUUUUCCAGCGGCGGCGCCAUUCUCAAUCCUCAAGAUCUUUGACAAGCAUUCUUCUUCAUCAACUCCGGCGUCUUCCAGCGUCCCCUUCACGACAAGAUGGCCGUUGGCUUCGUCGUCCCUGAGGUCAAACUUCCAUCUCAUCUGCUGUACCUUUUUCCUGCAUUCCUGUUCAUCUGCGAUUUACCUUACCGAAUAUUUUCCUUCUCCUUUUUCUUUGUAUCUUUAUUCCCCAAAACACCAGGAGUUAUCCAAUAAAAUCGUCAUUCCUACCGAUCAACCACAUCUCCAAUGCCUCGGCCCUCUAGGGGAUCCAGAUCCAACCGACCUUAUCAACGCAGAAACCAACAGGGUUCCCUUUAGAGCUGAAAACUUUGCUCUAGAUCUAUGGAAGGACACCUUUCGCUCUUGGCCUAGCCCUACUGUAGGGUGGAAAGACUGGUUCUUGAGGGUCAGCAACUCUUAUGAAGUUCAAUGGGGUGAGAGGAAAUUAGCUCAAUGCAUUAGGCUGUCCAUUGCCGAUAUGCACAGGAACGAGUCAUUGCUGAUAGCCGCAUCUUACUUUUGGUCAGACACUCUCAACGCUUUUGUUUUUGGCCACGGCCCUGCUUCUCCUACCCUUGCCGAUGUAGCCAUGCUUACUGGGUUAGACAUAUCUUCUGCCGAUAGCACCCACUUUUUUGAUACCGCCCCCAGUGCCAAAGUGGAGACUCGCGCUAUCGGCGGCUGGUCAGGGUACAUCCAGAAGUACCGCGGGAGAGGGCCUGUCACCAUAAAGGAACAAACCACUUUUCUGAACAUGUGGCUAGACAAGUUUGUAUUCUGUGGUCGAUCGGCAGGACCGACUUCUGUCUAUCUAUCGGCAGCAGAAAGAUUGGCUAGCGGUGGUCAAUUUCCUCUCGGCCGUUAUUUGCUCGGCGCCGUUUAUCACCUUCUUCAUCAGGUAGUCCAGAAACUCCUGCUCGGCCAACCUAUCGGCAACUUGGGAGGUCCUUGGUGGUUUAUUAAUAUGUGGCUCAAUCUGCACCUGCACAAGCGCCUCGAUCUCAACUUGUUCUCUCAGCACUUCCCAAGAGAUAUAGCCGAGAACCAUGUGUUGGGUGAAGAGGAAUCGGCAACACGUGCCCCCCUGAACUUUGGCGAAGCUGUUAUAGUUCUACCCGGUUCAGGGAACACCCCGGAUCAGAUCGGCCGAUUCUUCGAAACGCUGUAUGAGGGUCUGGCCAAAGAUGAACGACCAUGGCUGGCUUAUGACGACCCGGAUAGCAUGCUCCCUCUGACCUUCAAUCCGUUCGACGAAGCUCUUGAUAGGGACAAUGAGGUGAUGAUGGCAAUCGUGACUCCCAGAGCCAUACCAGUGAACUUCUUCGGCAGCACGAAAACCUCUCCCCAAACCUAUGAAUUUUAUAAUCCAUCGGCAUUAGCUCGCCAGCUAGCUUUCGGCCAAUUACCGAUCGCACUUCCUUAUGCCGAUGUAAUAAAGCCCAGAGAACCCAUCGCUAACCUCCUCGAGUGGACUCGAGUAGCCCAGCUACCACCAAAUGCCGAUACAGAUGUAGAUCUGUCAGAAUGGGUUCCAGCUGCCUUUAUCACUCAAGCAUACAAGCUAUGGUGGGCAGAAUGGAAGGAGAAUCUAUUCUGCAGAUCGGCCCUCUCAUACCGCGGCAUGAUCGACCCCGAAUACGAAGUCCCUGACGACACUGUAAGUAUUUUAAACCGAUGUCUCAUUUUCCAAUACUAUUCCCAUCGGUAACUUACCCCUGUAUUCUUUUUGCAGAUUGACAACACCCCCCCAUCGGUUAGCAGGAGUGGCAAGCCGAUCGACUUAUUCCCAUCAGGCCCGAUCUCCUCAAUCGGCCACAAUGCUCCCACUCUGGCUUCCAUCGUCACCCAAGCAUCGGAGAAGAAUUCCGUCGAUAGUUCGAUAAUACAAUUCAUUUUCAAGGAUCACAUACUUGGUUGCUUGAAAUCGAACCCGUCUUUCAACUUUUUUGGAUGGAUCUUUUAGAUAAUCAAUAAUUUCUUCCCUCCAAUCACCGGCACUAACUACCGAUGUCGCAUUAAUCAUUGGCUGAUAUCCCGAGGCAUGCUGGGCUAACCGAUUAGCGUCUUCAUUAUGCAAUCGGGGAAUAUGCUCCAAUUGGAAAUUCUUGAAUUCCUUUAACAGUUGUAUACUUCUCUCGAAAUAGGUUAUGAGAACUUCACUCCGGCAUUCAUAGCUUCCGGCCAAUUGAUUUAUAACCAACAUGGAAUCUCCGAACACUUCAACAGCAUCAGCAUGAACUUCUCUUAAUAACUCCAAUCCCCUGAUCAGAGCUUGAUACUCAGCCUGAUUAUUUGUUGAUGUAGCAACAAUCGGCAAGGAAAAUUCAUACUUCCUCCCCUUAGGAGAAACUAAUACAAUGCCGAUUCCUGCUCCCUGGUCACAGGUAGAUCCAUCAAAGAAGAGCGUCCAGGGUGCAAUUUCCAAGGUUUCCACUAGACCGCAAUGCUGAGUCACAAAAUCGGCCAUAACCUGCCCUUUGACCGCCUUAGCCGAUUCGUAACGCAAAUCGAACUCCGACAGCGCCAAAAUCCAUUUACCGAUCCUACCACUCAUAAUCGGCAUAGAUAGCAUGUAUCGGACCACGUCAUCUUUGCAAACAACAGCACAUUCGGCCGACAACAGAUAAUGUCUUAGCUUGAUACAUGAGAAAUAUAAGCACAAGCACAGCUUCUCUAUAGCCGAAUACCUGGUUUCAGCAUCAAUCAACCUCCUGCUCAAAUAAUAAAUUACUCUCUCCUUUCCUUCAAAUUCUUGAACUAAAGCUGAACCAAUAACCGAUCCAUCGGUAGAUAAAUAUAAUUUGAAGGGUUUCCCUUGUUGGGGUGGAACUAAAACUGGAGGAUUCACUAGAUACUUUUUGAUCUCAUCCAAAGCCAACUGCUGUUCUUCCCCCCAAACAAACUCCUGAUCGGCUUUCAAUUUAAGAAGGGGACUGAAAGCACGAAUUCUCCCAGAUAAAUUUGAUAUAAAUCUUCUGAUAAAAUUCACCUUGCCGAUCAAGGAUUGGAGCUCGGUUUUAUUGGUAGGGGCCACUAUUUUAUUGAUGGCAUCAAUAGAUCUUCGACUAAUCUCAAUACCCCUCUGAUGUACCAUAAAACCAAGAAACUGCCCUGCCGAUACGCCAAAUGCACACUUGUUGGGAUUCAUCUUCAAUCCAUGCUUCCUGGUGCACUCCAACACUUUUCGUAAAUCGGCAAGAUGCUUUGAGAAAUCUCCAGACUUAACCACCACAUCAUCAAUAUAAAUUUCUACGAUUUUGCCGAUGAACUCAUGAAAUAUGAAAUUCAUAGCCCUUUGAUAAGUAGCACCAGCAUUCUUUAACCCAAAAGUCAUGACUAUCCAUUCAAACAAUCCAACAUGACCAGGACACCUGAAUGCGGUUUUUGGAAUAUCCUCCUCUGCCAUGAAUAUUUGAUUGUAACCCGCAUUACCAUCCAUGAAACUGAUGACCCGAUGGCCAGCCGCAGCAUCAACCAGUAGAUCGGCGACAGGCAUUGGGUACCCAUCCAUCGGCGUAGCUUUAUUGAGAUUCCUGAAAUCAAUGCACACUCGAAGCUUCCCGUUCUUUUUGUAAACCGGAACAACAUUGGAAAUCCAUUCGGCAUACCGACACUGCCGAAUAAACUUAGCUUCAAUAAGUUUAGUGAUUUCGGCCUUAAUAUCAGGUAGAAUGUUAAGAUUACAUCGGCGGGCUGGUUGCUGAUGUGGCCGAAAUCCAGACUUGAUGGGUAACCGAUGUUCAACAAUUGAUCGGUCUAAACCAGGCAUCUCUGUAUAAUCCCAAGCAAAGCAAUCUUUAUAUUCCUUCAACAAACUAGUUAAUUGCCGUUUACACUCAGGGUCUAGUUUAGCACUAAUAAAAGUAGGCCUAGGCUUAUCACCACUACCUAUAUCUACUUCUACCAAAUCGUCGGCCGAUGUGAAUCCUUGGCCUAAUUUUCCAUCAUCGGCGAAUCUAUCCAUUAAAAACCGUCGUCAGAACCGACUGCUUGGAUCGGUGGAAUCUCAUAAUCGGCAACUUUGAGAAAAUCUUUCUCCCAAACUUCUCCUGAAAUGCACCUAGUCUUUUCAUAAGUAUCCGCUUCUGCCGAUGCGAUAACAUAAGAAGAAUCCCCUGGGACGAUUUCAAUCUUGUCACCUACCCACUGAACCAAGCACUGAUGCAUUGUAGAUGGGACACAACAAUUGGCAUGAAUCCAAUCUCUCCCCAAUAAUAAAUUAUAGGCACCUUUUCCGCUGAUCACGAAAAAGGUUGUCGGCAAGGUUUUGCUGCCGAUCGUCAACUCUGCACAUAUCGCCCCCUUGACCGGAGACACGUUUCCCUCAAAGUCUUUGAGCAUCAUAUCGGUCUUGGUCAAAUCUUGAUCCCCUUUCCCAAGCUUCCGAUAUACUGCAUACGGCAUAAUAUUAAUAGCAGCUCCACCAUCAACUAGGAUCUUGGUCAUUGGCUGCCCAUCAACCCUUCCUUUGAGGAACAAAGCUUUAAGAUGCUGCCUCUCGUUAUCGGCAGGUUUCUCAAAGAUAGCCGUCAUCGGAUCCAGAGCCAACUGAGCUAUCUGAUCAGAAAAUCCCAACUCAUCAUCACUGGCUGGUGCAAGAAACUCCAUCGGCAACAUGAAUACCAUGUUGACGCCUGCCGAUGGACCUUCCUUCUUAGUGUCUGCCGGCUGCCGAUUUUCAGAACUCUCUCCUUUAUUUAACUCCUCCUGCCUUUCUCGUUGCAACCUCCUUUUCUGUGUCUUGGUUAAACCUUGAGGGCACCAUGGAGGAAGUGGCCUUUGCCUUACUGCCGGGCGUCGGUUCUCCCUUGACUCCAUACGAUGUGUGUUAGCAUCUCUGCAAAAUAUGAACUCAUCGGGAACCCGCGCAUUAGCCAUUUCCUCAAGCUCUUCCUGGUUCCUGGGAAAAUAUUGGACACGGUCACCGAGCCGAUCGCGAACACUAAGCCUGCCCCCCAGCCGAUCAUGAACUGACGCUCUUCCUCUGAUUGGCCCAUUAAAUCGCCGUUCAUCAUCACGAUAACGCCGAUCGUUCCUAUCGUACCGAUCAUAACCGUUGCAUUCAGGGCAGUCUCUGACAGUAGGAAGCUUGAUAUUUUCCUCCCAACAAUGGAUGAAGAAUGGGCAACUCCAAUGAUCCCUGUGCCGAUUCCACUCCUGCCGACGUCUUUCUUCCUCCCGUUGAUAAUCUUCCUGCUGGCGCCGAUAUCGAUCUUCCCGUUGUUGCCAUCUCUCUCGAGGCCUUCUAUGAGUUAUAACAAUACCAGACCGAGGAAGUCUUCCUGAGCUAGCUCCUUCCUGGACCAAGCCCUUACUUCUUGCAUCGGCGGUAGUAACUUGAUGCCGAGGAUCUACCGAUGCACUCUUCUCAGCUGUCUCCGAUGUUAAGACCUUAGCCUUCCCCUUAGCGUCCAACAUGUUUGUCGGGAAAGGAUGUUGGUCUAUCUUCAUCGGCUUUUGGGCUUUAAAACUGUCAAACUUGAUUCUCCCCGACUCUAUAGCCGAUUGCAGCUGUUGUCUGAAUACUUUGCACUCGUUGGUGUCAUGUGAAGUUGCAUUAUGCCACUUGCAAUAUCUCAUCCUCUUCAACUCUUCUGCCGACGGGAUCACAUGGUUAGGUGACAGUUUGAUCUGACCUUCCUGAAGUAGAAAGUCAAAUAUCCUAUCGGCCUUGGCGGUGUCAAAGGCAAACUUCUCUGGUUCUUUCUGCCCAAAAGGACAAGACAUCGGCUUCUUGUUUUUUACCCACUCUGCCAAACCGAUUACUGGUUCCUCGUCGGAAUCUGAGCUUGUUGCUUCGUCAACAAAUGACACUUUCUUAUUCCAUGCCCUCUUAGGCUCGAAAGGCUUGAUGUCUUGAUCAGAUAUCCUCUGCACCAAAUGACUUAAACUCUCGAACUCUUGAGAUGCAUACUUAUCCCUGAUAUGUGGCAACAAACCCUGGAAAGCCAAAUCGGCUAGCUGCCGAUCAUCCAGAACCAGGCUAUAGCAUUUAUUCUUGACCUCUCGUAUCCUCUGCACAAAUCCCUCAACCGACUCGUCAUUACGUUGCCUCAACUUAACCAAGUCGGUGAUCUUCUUCUCAUGAACCCCUGAGAAGAAGUAUCUGUGGAAUUGUUUCUCUAGAUCGGCCCAAGUAAUUACUGAGUUGGGAGGUAACGAUAUGAACCAAGUAAAGGCCGAUCCAGACAGUGAUGACGAAAAUAGACGAACCCUCAAUUCGUCCCUGUUACCAGCCUCUCCACAUUGAAUAAUGAACCUGUUGACAUGCUCCAUGGUUGACGUGUCGUCCUGCCCGGAAAACUUUGUAAAAUCUGGUACCUUGUAUCGAUGUGGAAGCGGGAUCAAAUCAUACGCUGGAGGAUACGGUGUCCGAUAAGAAUAAGUGUUGACUUUGGGUUUUAUCCCAAAUUGUUCCCUCAUUACUUCAGCAAUCUUAUCGGCCCAAUAAGCAUCGGCAUCUUGCCGAUGAGGCGGCUGCGGAUCCGGUACUUGGUGGCGAACCUCCACGUGUCUGUUUGGGACGUGACCUGUAUGGAACAUCGUAUUGGCCACCUGUCCUCCAAUCUACGGACUACCAAACUGCUGUCCACCGAUUGGCUGUCCUCCGAGUUGCUGUCCAAAAUUUAUUGGCUGGUUGGGAAUUCCCUGACCUUGGAACCCGGGAUAAACCUGCCCUUGCUGGAACCCUGUAGUCUGAUAACCCUGCUGGGGCGACUGUGGAAAGACUUGCUGUCCAAGCCAUCCAUUAUUAGCGUUCAUCGGCAUAGGUGCUGCCGAUGAUUGGUAAUUGGGUACCGUCGUUGAAUUGACAUACCCUGACUGGGCCAUAGGCCUCUGUUGCACCAGCAUUGAUUCUGCCGAUGCGUUAGGCAUCUGGAACAUUGGAUCUUGAGGAUUUCCGGCGUGAGGCCUUGCAGUAGUAGUUGUGGUAUACCGAGGACUCUGGUUCACCGGCACAUUGGAAGGUACUGAUGUCAUAGGAGUUUUACCCCUCAUGUCAGUUAUCUGUGAUGUUCCCGGCGUCAACUCUGGAGGCAUACCAUAACCCCACCAGUUAGGAGGAAGAGUUAACCCCGACAUUGCCGAUGCCAACAUAUCUGUUGUCAGUUUAUGCUGCCCAACUGAAAUUUGUGGGUUGGUUACCAUCGGCAUAGAUAGUGCACCAGUAGUCCCCAAUGUACUUGGAGGGACGGCAAACUGUGCACUUGCACUCGUCAAGGCAGCCGAUGGAGCCGUGACCUCUGGUGCUGUGGGUUGAUGAUGGGAAGGGCCCACAUAAUCCGGCGGGAUUUGUCCUUCCUUGAAGGUUCUUGCCACGGCGUUGAAAACCGUAUUAGACAGUACACCAGCUUGGUUGAUCAGCGCUCGAUUGAUGGCAUUGUCAACCAUGUCUUGAAGCUUGCCAGGAUUAGCGUCAAAGGUGACCUGCCGUGGUGCCGGCAGUGCAUCUUUCUGGACCACUUCGCCGCUCCUGUUUAUGCUGAAAGACUUCAGGCACUGCUGCUUGAACUCUUCCAUGGCUUGGGCAAUAGCUUGCUUCUGCUCAUCCUUGAGGUUAGCUUCCGUCACGGGGAUGACGUUGUCUUGGUCGAGGUCAGAGAUCGACAUCUUGAUCUUGAAUCUGUCCCACCGGGCGUGCCAGAAGAUGUGUUGAUGCAAAACUAAUCUGCAAACACAAAGGGCUAAUACCCGAUUCAAACGUUAAGGCGUGCCAGCCGAUUUGACCUUACUAUCGGCAAAGGUGAUAACUCGAAUACUUUAGUCCUGACAACAGCGAUGCGCCCGGAUGUCACGGCUAAGAGGUACUCACACGGAACUUAAGGAUACGCCGAGCUUGAGUCGACGAAUUCCUAAGAACUCGUAACAAAAAGAAAACGUAUGACGAAGUCGUCGAAAAGUAAAUGCUAGAAUAUGAGUAAAAACGUGUGUUUGAUUGAUUGAUAGAUGUCCCGAUUACAAGGUCUUAGGGCUUAUAUUUAUACCCUGCUCAAAGAGCUACGACCAGACACGAUUAGAAUUCGAAUUCCAAAUUACACGGAACCCGUAUACAAAACGAUAUGAAUAACAUAAGGAAAUAAUAAAACCAUCCUUCGUGACAAACCGAAACUCCUCUACAUGACAACUGGCAGCUUCCGGACUCCUCCUUCGCGUCGUCGGCAAUCCCCUUGCCAUAGUCAUCGGCAGACCCUUUUACUUGGUCAUCGGCACCAUAUUACUGUCUGAGGACUUAGCCACGUUCAACCUUUCCCUCAUCGGUAACCAUCCUUACCAGCAACCCGCAUCGUACUGCCACCCUGUCCUGCCAUCCUGGACACGUGCCCAAAAAUGGUGUCAACAGAUGGAAAACCAAGAAAGAAUGUCAAGCCAGCUCCAGGGGCUACAUUCAAGAAGAAGUCAAUUUUCUUCGAGUAUUUGGAAUACUGGCCAGAGUUAGAUGUCCGCCACGCGAUCGAUGGUAUGCACGUUCAGAAGAACGUGUUUGAAAGCGUAAUUGACACCUUGUUGGACAUGAAGGGCAAGACAAAGGAAGGAUUAAAUUCACGCUUGGACAUGGUACAGUUAGGCAUAAAAAAAGAACUUCACCCUGUUAGGCUAGAAAAUGAGAAGUACCACCUCCCGGCAGCAAGCUACAACCUCAACAAUGAAGAGAAACAUGAGAUGUGUGUGUGGUUAAAGAAAUUGAAAGUCCCAUCUGGAUUCUGCUUUAGCAUACGGAUUAUUGUGUCAAUGAAAGACCUUACACUCACCAACUACAACUCACAUGAUUGUCAUGUCAUAUUGACUACUUUUCUCCCUAUUGCCAUUAGGGCUAUAAACCCAUUGUGGAUAAAGGUUGCAGUUACACUAUUGUGCUACUUCUUCAACAAGAUCUCACAGAAGGUGAUUGAACGUGAUGAGUUGGCGUCUCUUAAGGAAUUCGUAGUGGAGACAGUUUCACAGUUUGAGAUGUGUUUCCCCCCAGCAUUCUUCGAUGUGAUGGUUCACCUUGUGGUUCACUUGGUUUCACAAAUAGAGGCAUUGGGUCCCAUGUAUUUGCAUGAGAUGUGGACGUAUGAACGCUUCAUGUCAAUACUAAAUGGCUAUGUAUCAACUCGUGCUCGUCGAGAUGCGUCUAUGGUAGAGGGGUACUUAACCGAAGAGGCCAUUGAGUCCGGAGGUCCAUUCUGCAAUAGGGUCCUAAAAGACCAGGUUGCAAUAGGUUUGCCUCCGUCACGACAUGAGGGUAGGCUGAAUGGAAGAGGUAGGAUGGGAAAGAAAUCAUACGUCCCAAAAGAUUACAAUUCAGUCCUCGAAGCACAUCACAGCGUCCUACAUCAGCUCUCGAUAAUGGAGCCUUUGAUCAAUGUACACAUUGAAGAGCUUCAAAAACAUAAUCAUGGGCACACAGAUGAAUGGAUAAUGAAGGAACAUAAGAAUCAGUUCACCUCAUGGCUAAGGGAGCAGGACAUUCCAGAUGGAGAAACACUCGAGGAUCGCACCAUCAAGGUCUUGGCAUCUAGGCCAUCACGCCAGGUCACGACUUGGCAAACCUAUGACAUUAGUGGCUUCACGUUCUGUACCAAGUCCAAAGACCAAAAGAGCAUGGCACAAAAUAGUGGUGUUCGAUGCGACGCCUUAGACUCUGAAACUGGUGAGGAAACAACUUACUUUGGCUUCGUUGAGGACAUAUGGGAACUAGACUAUGGUACAUUUCAGAUCCCUGUAUUUCGGUGUCAAUGGGUUGAAGACAAACAUGUCACAAUGGACAACUAUGGGAUUAGAGUUCUAGAUCUAAGCAAGGUAGGCUACAAAGAUGAUCCAUGGAUAAUGGCUAACCGUGCUGCACAGGUCUUCUAUGCUGAGCAGGUCCUCUCUCCUAAUGAUAAGAAGAAAAUUACGGACCAUCCAAAGCACAUAGUUUUCCCUGGAAAGCAACAAGCCAUUGGAGUUGAUGGUGUAUCUGACUUGGAUGAAUUUAACCAGUUCAGUGACAUGUCUCUCUUUGUAGACGACCAUCCAGUAAAGAUAAGGAAUGUUGAGCGAAGCAUUCCACAGAGCUCGUUGCCCUGGGUGCGUCACGAUGGACAAGGAAGAACAGUAGCUGCCUAGAUUUUAUUUGUCAUUUGCCAUGUAAUCUAUUUGUACCUUAUGCUAUGUGCCCUUCUCUAUUUCUACAUGUAAGGGUUACUAGUGCCAUUGAUGUCGUAUUGGUCUCAAACUUUUACUAAGGGUUACUAGUGCCAUUGAUAUUCAAUCCACCAAAUUUGGGAUUUUUCUGAUGUGGUUUAUUACUUUAUCCGGUUUAAUUGAAUUUUUGUGCGAUAUCACCCACUAAUUAGCGCUUGAACUAAGUCUACCCCUAAAAUGACUCCAAAUGGUGCUAAACUUCUUCACAGGGUCUUAUAUACCAUAGGAAAUAAAACUUCCUUGUGGUUGGUGGAAAAACCUAGUGGGAUCUAGGUGUAGUCCACCAUUUUUCAUCUCAUUUAACACAAAGAAAAAUGUAAUAAUAGCUUGCAUGACUAUAAAAUCCUAAGAUCUUGUGUGGGGUUAUCAUUUGAGUGUAGAAGCUUGUCAAAAAAAUUUCAAGACAUUUGGAGAUAGGCAUAACAUACAUGCUUCACAAAUGUAUAAGAGUCAUUCCACCGAACUAUGCUCAAACAUAUGGGUUCCUCACAUUUAUAUUGUCAACGAUAAAUUACACAAAGGAAUAUAUUUUUCAUAGCAUUUACACAUAACAAUAAAGCUAACAAAAUUAGAUUUAUAUUUUUCUGGUAUUCCUAGAAUUAUUUAUGUAUUAAACAAGAUAUGAGGCACAUAUUCAAUUUAAAUCAUUUUAAAAAAGCUGCAUAUAAAAGUACCUCAAACAUGAAAUUUCAUAAUUUUAACAUGUGUCUCUGGUCAAGAGGAACACAACAAAUAUUUUUUCACUAAUUUAGGACAAAUAUUUUUGAAGAUAUGAUUUUUUGAAUCAUUUAAAUAAUUUCUAAAAAUAUAUAUAAGGAAAACUUUAAAUAAACUGAAAAUACAUUUCUACAUGCGGUUGGCUAAGCCAACCGCCAGUACUAAUGCAUUUGUACUGACGGUUGGCUUAGUCAACCGCCUGUACAAAUGCAUUAGUACAGGCGGUUGGCUUAGUCAACCGCCUAUAGAGAUGGUUUCUACAUGCGGUUGACUAAGCCAACCGCCUGUACUAAUGCCUCUGUAUAUAACCUUCGGUCCUCCGCUCGAAAUUUUUCUAAGUCUGGCGCCCAGUUGAUUUGAAACCACGCUGUCAGGCUGUCCAAAUCUGCGGUGAGCUUCUUCCUCGCACGUCUUCCGUCUUUCGCCGCCGCGUCAAGCACUUCGGUGAGCUCUCUCUCUUCUUCUCUCUCUGCGUGUGCGCGCUUGACGGCGGUGGCUAUGGUGUGCGGCGGUGGUGGCUGUGGUGUGGUGGCGGACCGCGAAGAAGAGGCGCAGUGGUGUGCGCGGGCCCGACGACGAUGGUAGCGGUGGCGGUGAGCGGCGGGCGUGGUGGCAAGCGGCGGGCGCGGCUGGAGGUUGGGGAUAACCCCGACAUGUGGGGCCCACCUGCCAGCGUGAGGGAGAGAAGGGGAGAGGGCACGGGCUGUGCUGGGCCUGCUGGCCCGGAAACGAGUGCAAAAUAUUAUAAAUAAAAUUAGAUUUAUUCAUUUUAUAAAUAUAUGUUAUAAUGUUAUAAAAUAUAGCAAAAAAUUAGAAAAAAUCAGAAAAAUUAAAAAUAAAAUCAGGUAUAUUAUUAUGUCUUUUACAUGUAAUUUUAUUCAUAAUUAUUAUUGUAUAAAUAAUUGUUAUUAUUUUUGUAAAUACAUGUUAUAAUGUUAUAAAAUAUAGCAAAAAAUAGAAAAAUCAGAAAAAAUAAAAAUAAAAGCAGGUAUGAUAUAAUCUCUUUGUUAUAAUCUCUUUGUAAUAGGAUUCAUAAUUAUUCCUUUUAUAAAUACUUGUUAUUAUUUCUCUUUGUAUAUGUAAUAUGAUUCAUAAUUAAUUCUUUUAUAAAUACUUGUUAUUAUUUCUCUUUAUAUAUGUAAUAGGAUUCAUUAUUAUUCCUUUUAUAAAUACUUGUUAUUAUUUCUCUUUGUAUAUGUAAUAGGAUUCAUAAUUAAUCCUUUUAUAAAUACUUGUUAUUAUUUCUCUUUGUAUAUGUAUUAGUGUAGGUAUUUCUCUUUAUAUAUGUAUUUCAUACCCCAAGAUACAUAAAUUUAAUUUUAUGCAUAAAUUACAUAGAUUUCUGCGAUGAGUUCUCCGCACAAGGACGAAGCACUGCAGUCCCAACCCACGGAGCAAAUAGAAGGGUCAUCCGACCCUAUGGAACAAGCUCGUGAGGUCACGAAACAAGUAGAAACGGGCAAAGCAUUAGGAUCGUCCUAUGAACAAGAAGCUAGCGACGAUAUGGAGCCUCUAAGAGUGAGGAAGACUCGUCGUGAAUUGGCACGUGACCCUGAUUACAAUCCAGAAGCCGAUGAGGUAAAUUAGAGACAUUCAUGAUUUCAUGUAAUUAAAUGAUUUCUAUUCAUAGUUUCUACAUAUAAACACGCCCAUGAUUCACAUGUCUAUACUCAGGAGGCAAUGUCUCAGUUUAGAGAGAUGAUGUCUCAGGAGGAAGUGGCACACGAAGAUGCACCGGAACCGACGACCGCAACGACGAGCCCUGAGAGGCCAUGUCAGUCUAGGAAAAGGUAGCGGCUAGGUUUGAAACGAGGCGAGAGAGGGUUGAACCAAUUUCUAGAUGACACAUAUGCCAUCACAGAUGUGAGCCCUACCGGACAACCCCUAGCUCUUGAGGAGGCCCUACCCAAAUACAGGAACGCAAUUGGUUUCUAUGUGAGGGACAUUUUUGAUAUCACAGUUAAGAACUGGGCUGGUGUGUCGAAUAAUCACAAGAUCAAAAUUUGGGAUAAGAUUAAGACAAGGUUCCAGUUUCCUAGGAAUGUGCCAGAAGAUUUAGUGAAGACAUAUACAAUGAAGCAAUGUGCGGUUAGUUUCCAAAAUUGGAGGUCGGAGAUGAAUGUCAAGUAUGCAAAGACAAGGAUGGAUCCGACAUCCAAAUACAAUAUUACUAAAGGGUAGUGGGCUGUUUUUCUAGAGCAGAGAAAUGACCCUAACUUCUUAGCUCGGAGCGAAGCCAACUCCCAGCUCGCAAAGAGGAACAAGUAUCACCACCAUCUAGGCACAGGUGGUUACCGGCACCAAGUUCCUAAAUGGAGGCAAGAAGAGGCUGCGAAGAAGGCCGUAGGGUUGCCAGUGCUGUCCGAGCAAGUCGGUGAAAGGUCCGCGAAUUGGAUCCGUGCUCGGAAGCCAAAGGAAACCGAGACGGGUGUGUCCUUUGAAGACCCAAUGCUUGAUGAAGCAAUGAAGAGCAUCUUUGCAGUGGCAGGCAUGCAGCAGGAAGGCAAGUUUACACCACGAAGGGAGAGAGACAUCCUUAGUGUUGGCCUCGGUAACCCCGAGCAUCCUGGCCGUGUUCGAGGCAUCUCAUCCAAAGAAGGAUGGAAGGAUGGAUUCGGCCCUCAAUGGGCAAAUGAGUAUAAGAAACAUGAUCGGUACAAGGAACAAAUGGCAAAUUAUUUUCAGGAAGAGGCUAAGAAAGACUUCCAAGAGAUGAUGGGGAAGUUGCUAGAAAAUCCUCCUCCUGAGUUGAUGCAGAAACUAGCGAGUGCCAUGUCAAAUGCAGCUACCCAAAUGAGCACUCAAGCUCCCCAAAUGCAGCUAGUCCCAGUGGUGUCGUAACCGUUGGUGGCAUCAAGUGAAACAAUCAUUCCAAGCAGUAUCGCAUCUACGGCAAACAAGGAUGACUAUCCAGUUGACGACAUUGUUACUUCUACACCUUGCUCCCUUGUCAUAAGAUAUGGGAUUAACAAUCAUCGUACAAGGGAAGUAGCCACGGGCAAAGCGAUCCCAGGAGGACCUAAAUACCAUGGUGCUGACAUCCCUAAAGACUACUGCAGAGUAGAGGUAUCAACCGUGGUCCAAGGAUAUGAGGACGAGAUUCUAGACAUCCCUGGUCCCAAGGAUAUUGUGAAACUAGGACAGGCGAUAAACAAUUUCAUCCUUUGGCCUCGGAGGGACGUGCAACUAAGGGAGCCACCACCACCCUCUCAAGAGAUGCCACUAACCCAGGAGUCGUCAACUCAUGUCGAUCCUCUUCCUAACCCACCGCCUUCACCUCCCCAAUCUCUUCCUGACCCACCAGAAUCACCUCUCCAUGUUUUCCCUGUCCAUCAACCAUCUCCUCUCCAUGAUCUUUCUACCCCAUAGUCAACACAAUCUCCACCACCAUUCAAUUCCACCCCUUCCCCACAACUCAAAGAUCCAGAACCAAGAAGUGAGCCACCAAAGGUGACAAAGAAGAAAGUAUUUCCGAUACCUAAGUUGAUUUCACCAUUCGAGCCAAAGAAAAAAUCAGCUGGGCAAGUGAGAUUUUUGUCAGGCAUUGCUUCAAAACGCAAAAUACAAGAGCAUGAGAUUUCUGAGCUAGCAAAGUUAGAGGUGCCGGCGCCUAAGGUCAUAACUCCUGUCAAUUUCAAGGUGCCAACUGCAGAAGACUACAAGAAUAUCCCCAAAAAGUACGUGUGGGGAAAGCCUCUACUCAGUCGGACUAAACUUAUGAAGAAACUAAGUGGUAUAAAAAGGUUUCAUGACUGGUACAUGAGAGCCUCUUCUGCUGGCAUCGACACCAUAAGCAUGCGAAUACCGCAAAUAGCAUUUCUCAGCCAGAGUACUAACAAAUGCAUGCUCACUUUUGAUGACAUGUGGGCACUGAUGAACCACGAGAUGCUAGAUGUACAGAUCGUAACGACAUUUGCAUUGUAAGUGUUACAUAGUUACACACAUUGUAGUUGAAUCAAUUUUGAAUAUCUGACAUGCUUCUAUCUUGCACAAUGUUAUAUGAUCAACAAGAUAUGUAUUUUGGUUCGGACCUUAAUUAUUGUGCCGAAGAAAGGAAUGCCUAUCUCUGCCCAAUAGAUAUAGCCGAAGAUCGGCACACAUUUCGGAUCGGGAAUGACAGCACAGAGGUAUAGGGUUUGGAAGGUGCAGAACGGGAUGAGAAACUCUGAAAGUUGAAACUUGAUUUUGAAGCCAAAUACGCCUUCUAUAUUGGACAUUCACUAAUAAAGUUUCAAGACAGGAAAGCGGUGGUGGCCCCGUACCACUUUGGGUAAGUGUGAGUUUACAAAUAUCUAUCUAAAUUAUUUCUAUGCAUAAAUGCAUCAUGGAUUUAAUUCGAGCAGGAGGCACUGUAUAUGCUUCAUCAUUUAUCCCAAGGAGGGAAGGGUGUUGGUACUAGACUCCGCAGAUUACCCAAAAGAAAGCUAUGCUCCAUUCAUCAAACUGCUAGAGCUGUAAGUCAAGCUAUGCAUGCAUACUUAAGCAUAGUGAGAAUUUGACAAUAACAUGGUGAUUCUAUUUGAGAUCAUAGGGCAUACAGGUUCUAUUAGAUAAAUCAUGGAAAGUGCGAGUCCAAGAGACCAGGGCAACCAUUGGAGGUUAUACAUAACUGACCGGUACGUAUAAAAAUUUACUAUUAUGAAUACAAAUCAUACACAUACGACCACAAUUGCAACUAUAAUUAAAUAACCACUCUCCUGUUAUACAGUGCAUGAAGCAACCACCGUUAUCUGUCCUCUGUGGCUACUACGUGUGCGAGAACAUGAGAGAAAACGGACGAUAUGCAAGGAACCCUGACAAGGUAAUAUAAGUAAUAGUCUAUUAAAGUUAGAAGUCAUAAAAUAUAUAAUGUUUAUAAACUUUCUUUGCAGGUAUAUAAGCAAGGGACGGCGGAGCGCAUGGACGAACGUGCUUUAGACAACAUAGUUGAGGACAUCUGCUCGUUCAUCAUGAAGCAUGUCAUUCCACGUGAAGGCAAAUAUCAUGACGAUGAAAGCCAAUUAUCCAGGCCAGAGUUCCGAGUGCUAACAGAGAUUAGUAAGCUCAAACUUACUAAAGAGGGUUAUUAGAGGACACAAACAAACUUUGAUGUAUAUAUAUAUAUGAUGUGUGAUGAUGGAUAUACUCUUGUAAUUAACUUUAUGUCUUUGAGCACCAAACUUUGAUGUAUACAAAUGUAUGUAUGAGAUGAAGUAUUUAAAUUACAUGUUGCUAUGUUAGAAGACCAACCAAUAUCAAUAUAUUUAAAUAAUAACAAUAAAAUAAUAAAUAAAUAAAUAAAUAGAUAAAUUAAUAAAUAAAUAAAUAAUACAUAUUUUAAUAGGUUUACACAGGCGGCUCUCUUAGGAAACCGCCUGUGUAAAUGAACAUUUACACAGGCGGUUCUCUAAGAGAGCCGCCUGUGUAAAAGGUUUCUACUUGCGGCUCUGUGGAAAUGGACGAUUUCUACUGACCUCCAGCGCAGGCGGAUCCGAAAAACGCCUGUAGAAAUAUGUUACCAACCACCUGUAUAGUGUGCCAAUGUACUAGUGUCAGCAAGAGUUACAAUUUUUAUUUCUAAAAUCUAUUUAUCUAACACCAUAUUUUUUCUAAUACGAUAAGCCCAAGAGCACGAUUAAUAUACUGCUCAAACUUUAUAUAAUUUUUUGAGCAUUUUAACAGUCUCAAAUGAAAAAAAAAAUUAAAACUAGAAAAUUUUGGAAUUCAUCGAAAGCUAAAGUUUUCAUAUAAAAACCAUCUUCAUUCAAGGUCAUAUUAAAAGAGUGUGAUUAUUUAAUAUAGAGAUUUGUCGUUGACAUAUGGGUCCCAUAUGUCAGAUCCAUGCUACGUAGGAUAACAAGUUGGGGUAAACGUCCAUCUGAACUUGGAUGAGACCCGUUGCAACUUCAGAAAGCAAAAAAUAUAUUUUGAAACUUUCGGAAUUUAGAGGAUGAGUAUUAUUGUUCUUAUUUUUUAGGUUGCAACACUACUACAACAUUCUUUUACUGAGGCGGGCAAAAACAAUUAACUGAUGCGGUUUUUGCAACCACCUUGAUGAGAAGGUCACGAUAAAUGUGAUAUUUUCCGAGGUGGUUUCUUGCUUGCCACAGUAAUUCAGAUAAAAAAAAUUGAAAUAACCUAGAUCCAGCUCUAACUGGAUUUGGUACUGGCUCUACAGCCCCUGCGUGCCACCGUCGCCAGGGGCAGCCAUGACUGCUUCUUUCUAAGUCCGUGAGAAGGAGAGCUGUCGUGAUCCGGCCUCCACUCUACCGUCGGAGCUGAAAGGGGAGGAGAAGGAGCGUCGCCAUGGGGAAGCUAGAUCUAGCCUCCCCACCACUAGAUCCGGCCUCCACGUCGCCGUCGACGCAAAAAAGGGAGGAGCACUGUCAUAGGGAGCAGGCGUCGGGUAUUGGGUGAGGGAGAAGUGAAUAGGCGUCGGAGCUGCCGCCGAAGCUCAUGGAUCCACUCAAUCAGCCGUCGGCACAUGUGGAUCCGUUGUAGGCCUCUGCCAUCAGAGCUCGCAGUGCACGAUGCUGGGUCAUGUGACCCCCACCGCGUAGCACGCGACACCCGCCACUAGGGCGCGCAAUCGCUGCCGCUAGAGCUCGGAGCCGCAGAGAGAGAGAGAGAGAGAGUUGGGGAAGGAGAGCGGAGUGGGGGAGGGAGCAUAUGAGAGAGGAGUGUUGCGGUCGAGUAGGAAAGGAGGAGGGCCACGGGGGAGAAGGUGCCGCUCGAUCUGCUGAGGAGGGAGAGGUUGAAGGAGAGGAAGUGAAAUGAGUUAAAUGGGUUACCGGGUCUUGCAUGGGCUAGCUGGGCCUCGUCCUUUUUUGAGACGGACCUUAUAACUUGCCACCUCAGUUCAUAGGUAUUAACCGAGACGAUUCUGUUAUAUUGCAUGCCUCGGCUAAUAGAUUUUAUGAAAAGAUUUUUUAUUGCCUCGGUAAAUCUAGGUAUUAAUAGAGGCGGUUGAAAAUGUUUUAUGUCCAGCAGAUUGUGUGGAUGGAUGGAUCGAAUCUGCAUGAAAGGAGUAAGUCCUCUCCCCCUCCUAUUUGCAGCACGACAACGCCAUACCACAUGUCUACGUAUUCAUCAGCCCUUGCCAGGAAUAUGAUGUCGUCGUCGUCGUCGUCUACGUAUCAUCCAAUCUACCAUUUCUGAUCAGACUUGCUUAUACUUACUAGUCGCUUUGUCUGCUACCUUCGUCUUCAUCUCUAUACGUAUGGUGCUGUGCAAUUGCAUUAUUUUGCUUCUGUGUCGUCUGUGCUCAGCUGCCGACCGGCCGGCGAACAGAUUUCAGAAACCAAUACGGCCUGUUCAUCUCUCUUCGUCAACAAAUAUAAUUAAUUGGAGUCUGUCCUUGAUAGUGUGAAUGGUUACUACAGGAGAAUACCAUGCAUUACUUCGAAAUAUAAUUAACUGGAUGUUGAUAGAAGAAUAACAGAGUUUUUGUUUUCUCAGAAAACAGGUACAUUUACAUUUUCCGAUUUUUUUUAUACUGAAUUCACUACCGGAAUCCGGCUCUUUGCCGAGUGUCUAAUGGUUUACCGAGUGUUUUUUUUCGGGCACUCGGCAAAAAAAACACUCGGCAAAGAGGGUACUCACUACUGGAUACUGCUAAUUCGCCGAGCGUCAAAAACCGUCGGCGAAGCGCCCAAAACCGUCGGCGAAAGCUUCGCCGAGCGUGACCAUCGGCGAAGCUCGCUCGGGGAAUUUGCUGUCGGCGUAGACGCUCUUCGCCGAGAGCCGGAUCACGGGCUGUCGGCGAACGUUCGCCGAGGGUCAAGCCCCCACUCGGCGACACUUUGACGCCGUCACGGCGCUGGUUCACGGUGACGGCUGCUUCGCCGACGGCCACCGGCAACGCUCGGCGAACCUCCGGGUUUUUUUUAUUUUCUUUUUUUCUCUGCCAAAACUCUUCGCCGACAGCCUUAAAUUCCUCUCGGCGAACCGAUCGCCUUCGCCGAGCGCUAUGGCCGUUGCGCUCGGCGAAGCUGGGAACCUGGGAGAUUUGGCCGUUGUGCUGCCUCCAGCUUUGCCGAGCGCAACGGCCAUAGCGCUCGGCGAACAUGCCCUUUGCCGAGCGGUGCGCUCGGCGAAGCUGGGAACAGUUUUUUUUUGAAUUGUUUUCUUCCUUUUUGGACAUCACCAAUGCAUAGAAACCAUAUAUAUAUACCCCACAUCAUAUAUAUCAUCAUAACCACUGAAAUAUUGUUGACACUUCUUAACGCAACCACGGGAUAUCGGCGACGGCGCCAGAAGUGCCCUGGUAGGGUAACUCUAUUUACUAUUGGAUAAUUCCGCAAGCGCACAGAAUGUACCGCUGUAGCACUUCACCAAGGAGUAUUCCAAGGUAUCGUAAUUUAUAUUUUCCCAAGGAAAAGCGGCUAAGUGUGUUUAACAAAAAGGGGAAUGAGAUUCCUUGAGUUAUCUAGUAUCAACUAGUGAAUAAGGGUGGUAAAUAACGAAUAGGAAGGGUAGUGGUGAAUCCAAGGUCCUAUGCUAAAGGUAAAUGGUAGAGUUAGCUAGGUGGGAGGACAACGAGUGAGUAAAGGACUCCUAUGUAUCUAACUUGACUUCUGUGACUUACUUUAAUAGAUAAUUGUCUUAACUACGCUAGAGCCUUACUAACUGUGUGCGAGGGAUAGCCGAGCUGGUAAGACGCUUAGAAGGUUUUUCACCUAACCCCUUACCGAAAGCGACUAUUGGGCUUAUGGACGCCUUACCUUUUAAGAACUAGCCUGUACGUGAGGAGAACCUAAUGCCGCCCACGAUCUGUCACCUACUAGGGAGUGCGCUCCUACUUUCCGUUCAAGCCAGCGGUAAUCAAAGGUAAUCUUAAGUAUGAGCACCACGCUCACACUUAAUCCUACAACGCUAACUAGUUGCAGCUAGCUAGAGCUCCUAUACAAGAUAGGACGAUGAUGCACACACAGGAGUGGUUACAGGUCACUAACUUCACUAAGACAACUAUAUUACUAAAGUAAAUGCACAACAAGACUAAAAGACUUGCACUAAGUAAGAACUCAGUAAAGUAAAGUAAGAAUAAUAUAUUAAUAAAAGGAAAGUCUUACAAAAGUAGAAAGGUACAAGAGCUAUACCAGACUCUCCAGAAGACGACUCCGGAGACCCCGAGCUUCGCUCGACUCGACUCUAACUCCCACUCUAGACUAACUACUACUCUACUUGUAUGCUUGGAACUUGUAAUGCACUUGGCCUUGGAAUUGCACACUUGAAAUGAAGGAUGGAGGCUGCCUUUUAUAGAGGGAGAUGGAGUAGGGGUUACUCCAUCGCCACGUCAUCGAUCCGCGUGACAUCUUCUCUCCACCCUUGGAUCAAACCGACCUCACAACCGCCAUUUGAUCAACGGCAGGGGCAAAUCAACAUGUGGGACAUGUGGGGAAGGUCGGUGGGAGGCCACCGACCCUGGAACCGCCUUUGAUGUGGGGUCGGGCGACCCCACUUCUGGGCCUCUGGGCCCACCAGCAGUGUCCACAGGGGUCCCUUAUGUCGGUGGACUAGGUGGCACACCUGGGUCCCACCAAAGAGGGGUCGGGCGACCCCCUCCCUGUGGGCCCAGGGUGUCACCUGUUGUCCCCUCGAUCUCCUCUUGAUGAUUCUGAUGUUGGCUUUGUCAAAUAAUGUCUUGAAUUUGUUGUUCCUGCAUAAACAAGCUAAGAGUACAAGUGGAACUAGUUAUGGAUAAAAUAUGUUCAUGUCAUGUCGUUUCCUCUUGCAACCGAGGCAUGUUGACGGUGUUUUGUAUGUGGAUUUCUAUGGUAUAUCCACCGUCAACAAGCUCCCCCAAGCUUAACCUUUGCUCGUCCCGAGCAAACAAUCAAACUUAGCCUCGGUGGAUCAGGUAUUGUUACUAUGUUCACAUUUCAAGAGUACCAUGUGUACAACAAAGUUCUUCUCUUUGCAUGAAAAAUUUAGCUAUGUAAACUUACCCCUAUUACCUUAGUCCCUUAUGGGGCUUAUGGCUUUUCCUUUGUCUUAGGUGGUUGAGAGACAGAACAGUUUGACUUGAGCACUAACUUUCUCAUUCUUAGCAAGUUUCAUAUCAGAGGUUUUGUGAUAUUUUCAAAAGAAAGCUUAAAUGUUCCUCUUAUGGUUCUCUCAUGUCACUCAAAUGGUGUAUGAUUCCUCACCAAGGCAUAUGGUAAGAGUUGCCUUCUCUAUUUCAUCCUAUUUCUAAAAGGCUUAUGUGGAGUUCAAGGUAGGGAUGAAAGGAGAUAGCAUACUUACUUUGCAUGUAUUGCGAAGUCAAAGCUCGGAUCCUUGAAGAGAAGUGUCAUACUCCCAGAUCAAGAUGUGCAAGUGUGAUAUAUGGUGGACUAGGUUGCUCCUUUAUUUGAUAGACUCUCUAUGUAUUGAGACAUGGCUAGCAUUUUUUUCUUCUUUUUUUUAUAUAUGAGCUUUCAUGUGCUCAAUUUUCUUUUUCUGUGGACUUGCACAUGUCCAUCUUUUUAUUUCAUUUUGCCUAGCCCUUUUGAUGUCUCAUUUACCAAAUAAUGCUUAGAGAGAUGUUCUAACAUUUAGAGUAUGGAGCAACCUAUUUAGUGGAUGCGAAAUACAUGUGGUUGCGUACUUCCAGUGUAGAAGCAGCAUAUAUAUAUGUGGUGUGUACGUGAUCUUGAUCUUAGGAGCAUGAAAAGUCUCUUAACAAGGGUCAACAAGACUUGACGACACUCAACACAAAGCAAAUAGCUUAUGUGGAAAGGUUGCAAUUAUGUAAAGUAGAUAUGGCUGUGGUAGGAAUUCAUCACCAUUGAGGAACAAUUAAGGUUUUGAUCAUUUUAAGAAUAAAUCUCUGAUAAUCAUGCAUGCUUAGAAAAAUAUUAUAGUAGCUCUUGUCUUACUAUCUCAUGUCCCACAACAACUUAGACUUAGUUCUAGCACUUGCAACCCACAAAGUUUUUAGGUUCAUGGCAGUUUAAGUGAGCUAAGUGAUCCAUACUUAGAGAAAUACUAAGUUGUAUACUAGGCACUAGAGAAACAUUAACAAGCAACUAGUCAUAAUUUCCAUGAGGGAUAUAAACAUACAUGAAGCAUAUAUGCUAAAGGGAAAUGCUAAUAAAUAUUUAUUUUUUUUUUAAGUAAGAAUGAUAAAAUGCAUGAAAAUAAAUAGGAUAGAAUACUUACCUUAGUGGGGGAGAGGAUCUCCCCCAAGCUAGAUCUUCGCUCACUGUGGUGGCGGGAAAUUCUGGUACCAUCCGGCCCAGCGUUGUGCGUCUUCCUCUCGCACACUUCGGAUAUGUUGGCCGUUUUGUAACGCCAGUUGCAAUGUUGCUUCUUGCCCAAUCUGCAAUUCGCCCAUGUCAUUAAUGAGACUGUCCAUACCUGUGGGCUGGUGACGCCUAGCCCUGUCCCUUGGGCGUGGAGUGCGUUGUGGAGGUAGACCCAUGGAGUCUGAAGCAUCCACUGACAUCGCUUCAUCGCCCUCUUCAACGUCAUGGUGCGAGGAUCCUCCUUGCUCCAUCUGGGCGGCUUGCAUCAUCCUUCUUGUCACCCUGCGUGUCCCUGCAACAUCUGGACUUGCCACUCGGGCUAGUCUAAUGGUAAGUGUGCGGACCCCAUACAACCGGCGCCUCGCACAUGGGAGAGGAAUUUCGGUUGUAUAGCCCGGAUAAAUCAUUUUAAGUUCACCAUUUGGAUCUCUUAUGAGCAUGUUAGCAUUGAUAAAGAAGUUCUCAUCUACCACUCCUCUAACAUAGCCAAUGUCUUCAAAAUAAUGUGAUUCAAGUAAUCCAAAAGUAUCGGCUAUUCGAGUAAUAAAGGAUGUGAAAUAGAUGGGCUUCCCAUACUCAAUAGAGUUAAGCCAAUAGUUCACUAGCAGUUUCACAGGGGAGACCUUGAUUUUACUAACCAUGGCAUAGAGAAUUUUAAGUUCAUCAUCAAUUAAAGUAUCAGUUCCCAUGCCAGGAUAUAGAGUGCACAUGAUCCAGAAGUGAAGAAAGCGCAAGGUUGGAUUAUGGAUUUCAAUGGGAGUAGGAUUUGAACAAUCAUUAGAGCCAGAAAUUGCUUUCCAGAAUCUAAAUUUAUCGAACAUUCUAGUGGCAUGAUCUAGAUCAAGUUCACAUUCAUGUUCACACCCUAAAGCAGUGUUUAGAAAACUCCAAUUUAAUUGAUGUUCUUGCUCACACAUGCGAAAAGAUAUUCCAUUAUUUGUGAGUUUUAGGGUGCAUAGAAAUUCCUUAGCAAGCAAUUCUUUUCGAAAUUCAGGCACUUGCCAAAAAACUACUCCAACCAAUUGCUCUAAACACCUUAUCGAAUUCAACAUCCAUACCUGUGCGGGCCAAAAGGUCCGGAUCGAUGAUGCUAGUGUGUAGGAAGAGACCCUCUCGGAUGAUGUAGUACCUUUGCAACUCUUCUUGGCUUAACAUGAGGCCGCUCUCGGGCUCUCUCAUCCUUGAUGGAGGCUCGUAGGGUACCAUCCCAUGGUAACCUUCUUCUUCCUCCCUUCCAUGAGCAUGGUGAGAGCCUUGAGAAGAGCUCUCACCCUUUGCUUUCUUGAACUUGCCGAAGAUAUGCUUCUUCAUCCUCCUACACAAGUGAGGCAAACCAAGCUCCUACUACUACUACUAUGCAAGGGGAAUCUUUUUGGGUUUUUGUUUUGAUGACUAUUUCUAAACUAAACUUGAGAAAUGGCUUGUAACAAAGAGAGAAGAGAAAGGAUUGUGAGCUCGAAAUGGUUCUGGUGGUUUUGGGUGUGGAGUUGAGCUCACAAUGCUGUGGUAUUUAUAGGGGGAGAAGGGCAAGUAGUGGACCCACAAUAUAGGGGUCGGCCGACCCCCCCUAGAAGCACUUUGAAUUUGAGUUUAGCUUUAUACAGGGAACCAUUCUGCAUGCUUUCAAGAUUUUGCAGAGAUGGUCCAAAAUGGGGGUCGGCCGACCCCCAUCCUAGCCCCUCCUCCACUUUAAACAUUGUGUCAUUGAUUGUCCGGAAAAGUAAAGGCUAGGUGUGGACCAAAAGUUUUCAAAUUGUUUCUGAGAUUCCCUGUUUUAGUGCUUUGUGAAAGGUAAAAGAUGAAUGGCAAAAGUGGAGACAUGUCUAAAGUGAUUCCUAUGGACCAUGGGAGCACUCAAGCAUGCCUAGGUGACCACUUUGCAGAAUUUAAGCUAGUGGAGUGGUCCCAAAUGAAUCAAAGAUGAAAGGAGCAUCUUAUGACUAAAGUAAAGGAUCAAGGGACCACUCUUUUUCAAACUUUAGCUAGUGUUACAAGCAUAGGACUCCAUUGUGAUUCAAAUGGUGGCCAGCAGGAGGCAAGUGGGGCCAAUAUGGGGGUCGGCCGACCCCCACAUUGGAGCUCCCAGAGCAUCCAAGUGCUGGGUUGGAACCUCUAUGACUAGCAAGGUUGAAAUGUGGUGAAGUGGGCCCCAAGGUGGGGUCGGGCGACCCCCCUUUGGGAGCUCCAGCAGCUCAAAUUUUUAUGACAAGUUAUUCUCAAGAUUUUAUUUAUUAUGGCUAAACAUUUUGUCGAAAUAAGAUAUGCAAAAUUCAAAGUAAGAAUGCAAUUGAAAAGUGAAUAGUAGAAAUUGAAAUGCAGAAAAUAAAUAUGGGAUAACUACUGAUUUACCUUAUCAGCAAGGGCUCCAUGUUUUAGGUCCGUAGAGCAGGACCUCUCCAUCUUGUUCAUCCUUCGGGUGCAUCAGAUGGUCCCGGAGACGUGGACCUUGAUUGCACCUCUUUCUCCCGCCAUACUUGCUUGGUAUUGAUUUUUGGUUCAGCGGGUUCCUCUUCUUUCUUUUCGGCCCUUUUGGCCGAAUUACCUCUCUUGUCCCUUCGGCGUCGGAUGUGGUGAGGCUUAGUCGGAGGUUCUUUGUCCUUCACCUGCAUGUUAGCUUUAUAACCAUUGAAUGGACAUUUUACCUUCCAUCCUGGGAAUUGGAGGUGAAUCUGGCCGGACCCCACAUAGAUGACUGCAUUGACCGUGUUGAGGAAUGGCCUUCCCAAGAUGAUCGAGACAUCAUUAUUGGAUCCCAUAUCCAAAAUGAUGAAGUCGGCAGGGACGUAGUCGUCUUGGACCUUUACCAGUAUGUCCCUUGCCAACCCCUCAGGGAACCUGAUCGUCUGAUCUGCCAUCUGCAAACGAACAAAUGUGGGGUGCAAAGGCCCCCCUAGCAAAUUAUCAUAAGUUACCUUGGCCAUGAUGUUGACACCCGAUCCAAGGUCGCAGAAGGCGUUGUGGAAGAUUUGCGGUCCGAUCUCACAGGUGAUGGUCGGCAGGCCUGGGUCGUCCUUCUUGGUGAUGAAGGGCGAAUCCAGAAGAUAGCUCCAGUUGGAUUGUACCGGAGGCUUACCGAACCUCGUAGUAACUAGUUUAACUCCUUCAAUUGGGUCCUCAGGUUUCCCUGGGAUCUUACCUUGCUCGAAGGAUGGGACAGCUGCUGCUAAUUGAGCUAAUUGUGUUUCUAGCAUUUUGUUAAAGCUCAACUGAUUUUUCAUAGCAGAGUUAAAGCUAUCCAACUUUUCACUUAAGUUUUCAAGGAUCUUAUCAUUAGCCAUCAUUUUCUUGUUAAUGCUAUCAUUGAUUUUAGAUUGGCCUAAGACAAGAUCUCUAAGAGAAGGUUGGUUACCAAAAGAAUUAUUGAAAUUUUGAUUGUAACCAUUACCUUGAUUACCUUGGUAGAAGGGGCGCGAGUUCCAUUGCUGUUGUUGGGGCCGGUACCCAUUGUUGUUGUUGUUGAUGAAGCUCACUUCCUCCUUUGUUUCGGGACAAUUGUUUCCCGAAUGAUCAUCUCCUCCGCACACUUCGCACCAUGAAUCAGAUUCAAUGGCUCGUGCAGUGGCGUAAGGUUGAAUGGUCUCUUGCUUGGAACUUUCUUCCAUCUUCUUCGUUAAGGGGUCCAUCUUAGCAGAGAGCAUGUCCACCUCAUUCAAGGCAUGGACACCUCUUCUCUUGGGUUGGAGGCGUUCCUCAUUCCAUCCUUGGUUUAUAACCAUCUUUUCAAUGAGGUCCUUGGCAUCCUUGACAUUGUGUUGCAAGAAUGCUCCUCUAGCGGCAGCAUCAAGGUGACUACGGGCCAAACCGGUCAGGCCAUGGUAGAAACCUUGGAUUAGGAGCCACUCCUCUAUCCCAUGAUGAGGACAGGCGCGAAUGUACUCCUGCAGACGUUCCCAUGCUUCGGGAAUCGUCUCAUCCGCUUGCUGUUGGAAGCUGGAAAUCUUUCCACGAAGGGCGCUGGUCUUGCCCAUCGGAAAGAACUUCUUGAGAAAUGCAUUGGCGCACCUCUCCCACGUGGUCACUUCACCCUUGUUGGCGUAGAACCAUUGCUUCGCCUUCCCCAAUAACGAGAAUGGGAAGAGGCGAAGACGGAUGGCGUCUGCGGCGACAUUCUUGAUGGUGAAGGUGCCGCACACCUCCAAGAAGUGUUGGAGAUGGGCAUUGGCAUCCUCGUGUGGCUUUCCACAGAAGGGAUUAGCUUGCACCAUAUUGAUAAGCGCAGGCUUCAACUCAAAAGUCGCAUCCCCUAAGUUAAGCUGCGGACCCGUGGCGACAUUGUCAGCCGACGGCGCAGAGUACUCAGAGAUGGUCUUCUGGGCCAUAGCUUCUUUGAUAACCGGUGCAGAUACUCCUUCCUCUAACGGAUUCAGGUUCGAGAUGAACCUUUGAGGUGGAACUUGACGACGUCUAGUUCUCCUCAACAGUUGCUCAGGAUCUUCAACGAAGUUUGACGGCAAUUGGAAACCGCUCAUACACUGUCAGGCUUCACAAUAAAGGAAGACAAGACAAGUGAUGGGUUAUCCCUAUCACUACUUGAUAACUAGCAAACUCUGGAUUCUCUUUUUGUUAAAACUCUUAGACAGACGCUCUCCCAAGCAACGGCGCCAGAAAUGCUUGUUGACACUUCUUAACGCAACCACCGGAUAUCGGCGACGGCGCCAGAAGUGCCCUGGUAGGGUAACUCUAUUUACUAUUGGAUAAUUCCGCAAGCGCACAGAAUGUACCGCUGUAGCACUUCACCAAGGAGUAUUCCAAGGUAUCGUAAUUUAUAUUUUCCCAAGGGAAAGCGGCUAAGUGUGUUUAACAAAAAGGGGAAUGAGAUUCCUUGAGUUAUCUAGUAUCAACUAGUGAAUAAGGGUGGUAAAUAACGAAUAGGAAGGGUAGUGGUGAAUCCAAGGUCCUAUGCUAAAGGUAAAUGGUAGAGUUAGCUAGGUGGGAGGACAACGAGUGAGUAAAGGACUCCUAUGUAUCUAACUUGACUUCUGUGACUUACUUUAAUAGAUAAUUGUCUUAACUACGCUAGAGCCUUACUAACUGUGUGCGAGGGAUAGCCGAGCUGGUAAGACGCUUAGAAGGUUUUUCACCUAACCCCUUACCGAAAGCGACUAUUGGGCUUAUGGACGCCUUACCUUUUAAGAACUAGCCUGUACGUGAGGAGAACCUAAUGCCGCCCACGAUCUGUCACCUACUAGGGAGUGCGCUCCUACUUUCCGUUCAAGCCAGCGGUAAUCAAAGGUAAUCUUAAGUAUGAGCACCACGCUCACACUUAAUCCUACAACGCUAACUAGUUGCAGCUAGCUAGAGCUCCUAUACAAGAUAGGACGAUGAUGCACACACAGGAGUGGUUACAGGUCACUAACUUCACUAAGACAACUAUAUUACUAAAGUAAAUGCACAACAAGACUAAAAGACUUGCACUAAGUAAGAACUCAGUAAAGUAAAGUAAGAAUAAUAUAUUAAUAAAAGGAAAGUCUUACAAAAGUAGAAAGGUACAAGAGCUAUACCAGACUCUCCAGAAGACGACUCCGGAGACCCCGAGCUUCGCUCGACUCGACUCUAACUCCCACUCUAGACUAACUACUACUCUACUUGUAUGCUUGGAACUUGUAAUGCACUUGGCCUUGGAAUUGCACACUUGAAAUGAAGGAUGGAGGCUGCCUUUUAUAGAGGGAGAUGGAGUAGGGGUUACUCCAUCGCCACGUCAUCGAUCCGCGUGACAUCUUCUCUCCACCCUUGGAUCAAACCGACCUCACAACCGCCAUUUGAUCAACGGCAGGGGCAAAUCAACAUGUGGGACAUGUGGGGAAGGUCGGUGGGAGGCCACCGACCCUGGAACCGCCUUUGAUGUGGGGUCGGGCGACCCCACUUCUGGGCCUCUGGGCCCACCAGCAGUGUCCACAGGGGUCCCUUAUGUCGGUGGACUAGGUGGCACACCUGGGUCCCACCAAAGAGGGGUCGGGCGACCCCCUCCCUGUGGGCCCAGGGUGUCACCUGUUGUCCCCUCGAUCUCCUCUUGAUGAUUCUGAUGUUGGCUUUGUCAAAUAAUGUCUUGAAUUUGUUGUUCCUGCAUAAACAAGCUAAGAGUACAAGUGGAACUAGUUAUGGAUAAAAUAUGUUCAUGUCAUGUCGUUUCCUCUUGCAACCGAGGCAUGUUGACGGUGUUUUGUAUGUGGAUUUCUAUGGUAUAUCCACCGUCAACAAAUAUCACAUAAAUCAUCACAUACACAUCAACAUCACAUGAAUAUCAUACAUAAGUUCACCAUGGGCAUAAGUUCAUCACAACCAUAAGUUCACAUACAUAAGUCCACGACGACAAGUGAUAUACAUACAUAAGUUCAUCAUCACAACCAUAAGUUCAACAGAAACAUAAGGUCGACACGUCCAUCACGACAUAAAGUCCAUCACAAAGGCAAGAGAAGGACCUACUUAGUGCGUCCACGCUGGCCACGACGACGGUGAAGGAUUGCCUGUACCAGGCUGCUGCUGGUUCGGGUUAUUAGAACCCACGGACUGAGGCUGCACGAAGUAGGAGAUUGAUCGUGAGAUAAUCCAAACAGAACCGGAAUUGAGAUGACAUGAACCAUGUUACUCACAGGAGUGCCUAAGUGGAGCUGGUGCUGAGGCUGAGACGGCUGCGGUGUCGGCGAAGGAGUAGGUUCGGCGAGCAGAUCAUCCACCGAUACCCCACAGUGAUGGCCCAUCCUGGCGACGAUCUGGAUCAACUGCGCCACCCGCCUAUCCUGGACUGCCCGCUCGGCCCUCUCGGCAGCUAGCUGGGCCUCGAUGUCCAUGGAUCGCUGAUCCGCUGCCAACACUCGUGCCUACAGAGUAGAUGUCAGUAUAGGUCGGUACGUAUGUAUGUACAAAGAAUGGAACAGAAAUAACCUCGAGUGCCUCGACACGCUGCUGUGAAGGAGUCGUCCGUUGGCGUAUGGGGACGCUGUCGUCCGUGCUAGCUGCUCGGAUCUGGGAGAGAGUGGGAGUGGAGGCGGUGUCGAUGACGGAGUCCGCAAUCCAGUACCGUCCGUGCUUCUUGCCUCCGCCUAGCCUCAUCACGAGCUCGGUGUCGAGCUCGUUCCUGGUCGGAUCCCACUCUGGCCCAUGGACCGACCUUCCCGCCUCCGUGUACUCAGAGAGACGGGAGUGCACACUCGCGUUGGUGUACACCUCGGGCGGGUCGCUCGGGUUGUAGGAGACAGAGGACGAGGCCUUCCCCUUGUGGGCCAUGGCGUAGGCCGUGAACUCGUUCACCUCCUGGCCUGGGUGUGCAGCUGCCUGCAAGGAAGACAUCAAGAAGGUUACAAGUAAUGCAGACUUAAGGGUUAGCAUAAAAAAUGAGUUCUCAUACAUAUGCUUGGGCGUAGGCGGCGAGGUUGCGGCUGCCUUGGUGGUGCGAGACACCUGUCAUCAUCAUGCGUCGGCCGCGUGCCUCCUGGUGCUGCGCGGCCCAAUCCUCAGAUAGCCACUUGUCCACGAUCCUCUCCCAACAAUCAGGGAAGGCCUGACACCAAGGUAGGAUCAUCUGCACAUGAACAAACACAAACACCAAGGUAAGAUCAAAUCAUAGUAACUCAUUAUAAAAACGAAUCCAUGGAAAGGUUCGAUGGCGACCUGUAUGUACUCGUCCCGGGUCAGCUGCAUGGUCCUAGCGUCUUCCUUGGUGAUCUUCUCUCCAAGGAUGGCGCGGUGCCAGUUCACUAUGCACUGGAGACGCCCCUCAUGGUGCAAUUGCACGACUAGUUUCUUGCAGGAUUUGGUGACCACCAACUCCGCCGCCGCCUGCGUUCCCUCCUCGAAUUUGUAGUAGUUCAGUUCUACACACAUAAAUAGGCAAAGAAGGCAUUAAUGAUUUCAAUUACAAUACAAUGCAUGGAUGUGACUUAGUUCCAAGAAGACUUACCAAGAGCUCACCCCUCACCCGCUGGGCCUUGUUGCCAUACUGGGGGUCAGAGGCCGCGGCGUAGUGGUCAAACGUGUAGGUCGGCUCCCUCACACUAGCCAGCUGCACUAGGCCAGGGUAGUUGUUGCGAACCAGAAGACCCAGGAUGUGGUUCACGGGACGCCCUUGCCCCUGCACAAACACCCAGUUCCUGCAAAAACUAUUAAAAACAAAUAUUAUAAUUUGUAAGUAAUAUUGUAAACAUAGCAUACGAAUUAGUUUGGAAGUAAACUUACUUGGCCCCUAGAGGGCGGAUCGUCGGCCGUCGAUCCUCAGCUACCGCGAACCGCGGGAGGCUCGAGGGGCCUCUCAAGUAGGGCCGCUGCUGUGGACCAAAACCAGAGGCACCGGACCCCUCCCCCACGUCGGCCCCGCACCCCUGGGUGUCCAGGUCGUCGUCCUGCCCGCCUCCCUCGUGGGUGUCCUGGUCGGGGUCCUGCCCGCCUCCCUCGUGGGUGUCCUGUUGGGUGUCCUGGUCGGGGUCCUGACCCCCCUCGUCGUCCUGGGGGGGAGGAGGAGCAGGAGUAGGACUAGGAGGAGGAACAGGCUGCCUCCCUGCCCCCCUGGCCCUUCGGGUGCUCCUCCCCCUCCUCGGCGGCCGCCCUCCCGACAGGUCCACGUCCUCGUCCGCCGAAGGAGCUGAAGCCCGGUACAGCGUGUGCAACGACCUUUGUCGCCCGCCACCCGGCAUCUUCCUUCGAUCACCUGCAGUUACAAACAACAAACAAAUAUUGUAUUAGAAAUAACAUAAUAGCAAAAUGAAUAAAACAUAAUUACAUAGAUGCAAAAUGAGUUACAUAGUAUUACAUGUACUAGAAAUAUUCUUCAGGAUCUGGAUUAGCUGGAUUAUAAGACUCAUCAUCACUAUCAACCAUGUCGAACGGUUCGUCGGAAACCACAGGAAUAUUCUCUGAGUUGUCAUUUUCUAAACUUAAUCGAUUUAGCAUUUCUAGGUCCCUCUGGUCUUGCACCUCAUCUCCCGCAUCCUCGUCAACAACCACAGCUUGCAUCUCAUCUUCCAUUCCCAUCGGUUGGGUUAUGUCUACCACGAGGGUCCCUUGCAGCCCAUCUUCUUGAAAGAACUCUCUGGCAUAUGUGUUUGGGUUAAAGUUGUAAUCUUCGUCAUUUGGGACAGGUAGUUUAGCACGCGGAGAUAUCUUGUGCACCAUAUACCAACCCAAAAGAUUUCUCACUUUUUUGCACGGGUAUGGAGUAUAAUAAACCCGUGUGGCUUGUUGAGACACGAUGUAUACAUCGUCUUGUGUAUAGACGGAAUCCUGUCGAAUUUCCACUAGCCCAAGUUGAGGGGUCUGUCUCGUGACUCUAGGAUCAAACCAAUGGCAUUUGAAUAUAACGGGCUGAAGGGGUUUGGCACCAUGAAAUGAAAGUUCGUAUAUUUCUUCCACUUUUCCAUAAUAGUCGAGUUCAUCAGUUCCCUGAGUAAAAACUCCGCUAUUUGUGGUCUUUCGAUUGGGUCGAGUCUGCUCGUAGCUUGAUGUGUGAAAGCGAUAUCCAUUGACAUCAUAACCGGUGUAUGACUUGACCCGUGGGUCAAAACCGCCUGCAACCUGUCUCAAUUCGUCACUCAUAGACAAAUCGGUUUGGGCCUGCAAAAGCAACAUAGGUUAGCAAAAGCAAGUACAAGCUCAAUAUCGAGCUAAGUACGAGCUAAUCUGUACAUUACCUUUUGUUUAAACCAAGAAAUGAAAUUGGGCCUUCCUUCUCCCGCACCUUGUGAAACUAGAAUAUCACACUCUUGGGCGGUAGGCUCCCUCCUUGGUUCAUUCCAGAAUUGACGAAUAAAUUGCCCAAUGUAUGUUUGAACCUCGUUAAGGUUCGUCAACACAUACAACAUGAUAUUGCGCCACUCAUCAUUUGUCAACAUCUUAGAGGUCGAUCCGCUUGCACUUCCGAGUUGGCCUCGAAAAAGGCUAAGGUUCGACUCACCUUCACUAGCAUUGUAUCGAGGUGGUGGAUUAUGGACGCUAGGAAGGUUCUCAGAGUAGUAUGUUGUUGUGAAGUUGGACACCUCCUCCAAAAUGCAUGCCUCUGCAACUGAAGCCUCGAUUUUGGCUUUAUUUCUACAUUUUUUGCGAAGAAUCUUCAGGCCUCUCUCGACUGGAUAACACCAACGAAACGUGACAGGGCCCCCCAUUCGAGCCUCAUACGGGAGGUGCAAGAUCAAAUGCUGCAUCGGAGUGAAAAACCCGGGUGGAAAUAUCUUUUCCAUCUUACAAAGCAACACAGGUGCCACUUUUUCCAAAUUCUUAAUGACUUGUCGAGAUACCUCUUUGGCACAAAGCUGGCGAAAGAAAAAGCUCAACUCCGCCAGCACUUGCCAAACAUUUUCAGGGACAUAACCUCGAACCAUCACCGGAAGAAGCCGCUCCAUCCAUACGUGAUAAUCAUGGCUCUUCAUCCCUAACACUCGCAUAGUAGACAAGUUCACUCCCCUCUUCAGAUUCGCUGCAUAUCCGUCAGGAAACAUUAACGUUUGGAUCCAUUCGAGUACUUCCCUCCUUUCAUCCCUAGCCAACACGUACUCGGCCUUAGGCUUUUUCCAAUUCUUCCCGGAUGUAGGAGGUUGCAUAUGCAGCUUUGGUCUAUCACAUAAAGUUUGCAAGUCCAAUCUUGCCUUGGUGUUGUCCUUAGACUUUUCAGUGUCCAUGAGUGUUCCCCAAAUUGCCUCAGCGAUAUUCUUUUCGGUGUGCAUGACAUCAAUGUUAUGUGGCAAGAGUAGGUCAUCAUAAUAGGGGAGCCUCUCUAAGCCAGACUUAUGAGUCCACAUAUGAUGCUCACCAUAUCCCUCAAAUUUAUUUGUAUUCUCAUUCCACUCUAGAGAGUCAAGCUGUGCACGAACCUCGGCACCGGUCAUUAAGGCUGGCUUGGGAUCUGUCACUACCACACCUUUGAUGAAAUUCUUGAUGUCCUGUCUGAAAGGAUGAUCAGGAUCCAGAAACACUUGAUGUUGGUCGAAGCAUGCAUACUUGCCACCCUUCUGCAACCAAAUGAACCUCAAAACUUCCUUGCAUACUGGGCAUGCAAACUUCCCAUGAACACACCACCCGCAGAAUGACCCAUAUGCCAAGAAGUCAUGGAGGGAGUAGUGGUACCAGACAUGCAUUAUGAAGUUUGACCUUGUCGCUCGGUCGUACGUCAAAACCCCUUCAUUCCAAGCUGUCAUCAAUUCGUCCACUAGAGGUUCCAUGUACACACCCAUUUUAUUACCAGGGUGUCCGGGGAUUAUCGACGACAAAAAUAUGGUAUGACGUUGAAAGAGGACACCGGGUGGGAGAUUGAGGGGGAUAACAGAUAUGGGCCAGCAAGUGUACGGGGCAGCCAUCAUCCCAAACGGAUUGAACCCAUCUGUUGCAAAAGCGACACGUACAUUACGAGCCUCUCUAGCCUUUUCACGGUGAAUGUCAUCAAAGUGGGUCCAUGCUUCACCAUCGGCGGGAUGUACCAUCUUGUCAGGAUUGUACCUAGUGCCUUGUUUGUGCCAUGUCAUCUGUUUCGCACUCUCAGAUGACAUGAAUAGCCUUUGGAGCCUUGGUAUGAACGGAAGAUACCGUAACACUUUCACCGGUAUUGUAAGCUGCCUCUUCUGACCAUCACUGGAGUCUACCUCUAUGUACCUACUUCUCUUACACUUUGGACAAUAAUUUGCCGCCAUGUGAUCUCCCCUAAAUAGGACACAACCAUUCUCACAACAAUGUAUUUGCUCAUAAGGCAUCUUUAAUGCACCAAGCAGUUUCUGUGACUCGUACAUGUUCUUCGGUAGAAUGUGGGACUCCGGAAGCAUGCUGCCAAAUAGAGCCAACAUCCCAUCGUAGGCAUCUCGACUCAGGUUAAACUGGGACUUGAACCCCAUUACACGUCCAACGGCAUCCAGUUGAGAAACCGUGGUCCCAUUAUGAAGGGGUUUUUGUGCCGAAGCAAACAUGUCCUCGAAGGCCUUUGCAAAUGCCUCCAUCUCUUCCGUCGUACGUCCUUCAGCAAACUCUGCUUGGUGAUAGUCAUCUAUCAUGUCUGCUACCCCGCCAUCACCAUCAAAAGCCUCCACCCGUGCUCUCACCACCUCCUCUCUCAUACGAUGACUUUCACCAUGGUAGAUCCACCGGGUAUAGCCCGGCGUGAAUCCAUGCUUAACAAGAUGUCUGCCCAUUUUGUCCUUAGUUAACCUUUUUCUGUUGUCACAGUAGCUACAGGGACACCUGACUAGAAUCUCUCCUCUAGCAGCCGGGCCAAAUGCAUGCUCCAAGAAUUCAUUUGUCUUGAACACCCAUGUCUCAUCAAAAUCUCUCAUACUUCUCUAUUGUGUGUACAUCCACUGACGGUCUUCCAUCCUCUAAUAUACACUAAGACAAGUAACUUAAGCCUCAAAUGCAUCUACAUGGUGUUUCUACUCUCUAAUAGGUAAGGAUAGGUCCUAAACCCACCCGUAUAUGCGCAGAUGGAUUAGUCUCCAUGCUCCGCGCCGAUCCGAGACGAAAUUUUGACAGCACCUCCCCGCUGUUCUUCAGAUACACGUCCCGGAAGGGAGAGUGUGUAUCCGAAGAACAAGUGGGAGGUGGUGCCGAAACUUCAUCACGGAUCAGAGCAGAACAAGGAGACUAACACAUCUACGCAUAUAAGGGCUGUCCAAAAACGUGGACAAUUCGAAACAGAUAAGGUUAUCGAUAUGCAAACAUGUGCAUACCGAUAACCAUAUCUCUUCCGAACGGGUGACGCCUAACGGGGUUUUGUGAGGUGAGACCAGGACGGGCUGUACCUUAGGUGGCGGUGGAGUGUCGAGGUGACGUGGUGCAGGCAGGAACUCCCCGACUCGCCUCCUCGGCGCGUCUCACUACAAAAUGAAAACAUACACUAUUAAUUCAAAAUUUCGGCAGCACCCCCCUAUACGUAGAAGUAUCCAUAACCUGCAAGAAACAACGGCACGAUGGCCGACAUCCACAUUUACCAAGCAUAUAUCACAUCUAUCAAGCAUAUAUCACAUCUAUCAAGCAUAUAUCACCACAUCGAGUUAACCGCCGACAUAUAUCACCAUACGGAUUAUCAAACUAGCAUCCAUGCGGAUUAUACCUUCGUCGAGGGCUUCAGUGGUCUUCUCCUUCUCCCUCUCGUCCUCCUGCCCUACUUGUCCAAUCCUCUUCCUGCUCGGAGCGGACGAGGCCAGCGGACGAGGACACGGCCGGCGGAUCGGGCAGCGGACGAGGCCAGCGGCGCGGGCGCGCACUAGGCGGGCGGCGAGGGCGCGCAGCGGACACGGCCGGCGGUGAGGGCAGCGGACGAGGCCAGCGCGGCAGGGCGUGCGCGGCCGCAGGGAUAAGGGCGAGGUCAGGGAGGGAGGGAGCAGGGCGCGCGCGGCGAGGGGGGUGGGAGGGAGGGAGCAGGGCGCGCGCGGCGAGGGGGGUCGGGGAGGCGGCUGCGAGGGAGGCCGGCGAGCCCGCGGGGCGCGCGCGGCGAGGGGGGGUCGGGGAGGCGGCGACGAGGGAGGACGGGGAGCCCCCGCGGGGCGCGGCGAGCCCGCGGGGCGCGCGCGGCGAGGGGGGCGGGGAGGCGGCGGCGAGGGAGGACGGGGAGGCGGCGGCGCGCGCUGGCGGCGAGGUGAGGGCGAGGGAGGCGGCAGUGGGCUGGACGGGGAGGCCCUGGCGGCGAGGUGAGGUGCGGUGCAGCUGCGGCGGCGGACGCGGCGGCCGGGCGGCGCUGUGGGGGCGGAGCCGGCGAGCUGAGGAGGCGGCGGCGGCGGUGUCUGUGUGUGGCACACACACAGAAACAUUCGGAUAAGGGCGGUCAGGGCCUUCGCCGAGCGCCAGAUCAGGGAGCGCUCGGCGAAGGGUGGUUCAAUUUUUUUUGAAUCUGCAAAGGGUUCGCCGAGCGCAGCAUUUACCUCUCGGCAAACUCGCUUCGCCGAGCGCCAUUAAUAGAGCUGUCGGCAAAGGACCCCUUCGCCGAGCGCUUUAUGCUGCGCUCGGCGAACUAAUUUUUAAUUUUCUUUUAUUUUGGCCUGAGUUUUUUUUGUUAGUUUUCCCACUUAUAUUUGGUUACAAUAAUGAAAGUUGAGCUAUUUUUGGUACAUAUAUCUUUUUUUUUUGCAUUUGUUUCGUUUCGUUGAUUAUUUCCGAUAAAUGCAUGUUUGAACUAUAGGUGCAUGAAAUAAUGAGUUUUUAUGCACAGGAAGUUGACAUUGUUGUUAUUUAGUGUGAAAUAAGACCGUGUGCAAGAAGAGGCCCGAACUCUCGCACCUUGGAUUGACGGAACACGACUUCACAUUCGCCUGUCAAUCUUUUUUAAAUAAUAUAAAUUGAAAAUGAAUUCAAAAAAUCAUGAAACUUGGUGGGGUGUCACGAUAUCACAUGUGGAGCCUAUGAUAAAAAUUUGAGAAGGUUUCGUACACGGCACCUCGCAACAUGUUCACAAACCUAGAGAUCCAACUUAUGAUCACAUGGUUUGUGAACAUGUUGCAUGAUGUCGUGCACCAAAACUUCUCAAAUUUUUACCACGGCCUCCGCAUGUGAUAUCAAGACACCACACCAAGUUUCAUGAGAUUUGGAAUUCAUUUGUAUUUUAUAAAAUUUAAAAACAUUUCACCCACGACUUUGAACUUGUGUUCCGUCAACACCAGGUGCGAGAGAUCGGGCCUGUACAUCCACACGGCCAUAUUUGACACUAAAUAACAACAACGUCAACUUACCGUGCAUAAAAACCUAUUAUUUCAUGCACAUGUAGUUCAUAUAUGCAAUUAUCGGAAAAAUUCAAGGAAACGAAAGAAAUGCAAGAAAUAUAGCUAUAUUUAAUAAAAAUGGCUCUACUUUCAUUAUUGUGACCAAAUAUAAGUGGGAAAAGUAACAAAAAAAUCUCAGGGCAAAAGGAAAAAAAAUUAAAAAUUAGUUCGCCGAGCGCAGCAUAAAGCGCUCGGCGAAGGGGUCCUUUGCUGAGCGGCCCGACAAAGCGCUCGGCGAAAUAUGCAUAUUCGCCGAGCGCCCCCUGUAGCUCUCGGCGAAGAAAACAGCCGAGGGAAGUUUCAGACCACGGCGUCAUCCUUUGCCGACAGCCGGUCUUUACCGAGCGCUCGACCGUCGGCGAAAUCCUUUUUGCCGAGCGUUCCUCUGUGCCGAGCGGUGUGCUCUCGGCGAAGAGUGGCUUCACCGACAGCGUUUCUUUGCCGAGCGGAGCGCUCGGCGAACUAUCUCUUCGCCGACAGCCCGAUAUCCUUCCCUCGGCGAAGAUUCGGCUCUCGGCGAAUUUACUGUUUCCGGUAGUGACUUUGCCGAGUGUCAAAAAAACACUCGGCAAAGAAGGCCGAGUGUUUUUUUACACUCGCCCCGAGUGUUUUUUUGACACUCGGCAAAGACCCUAUUUGCCGAGUGCAAAAAAAGAAACACUCGGCAAAGAAAAUUUCAAAUCAAAAUUUGAAGCCCUAAACAAAUUCAAAUCAAAAAGUUUGGAACUACAAAGUUGUAUAACGUCUCAAGAUCUAUAAUCUUUAUUUUGACCAUUUCUUCAUUUGGCAUAAUGAAAAUAAGUUUGUUCAUAAAUUUUAUAUCUCUCUCUUAUAGUUCCUAGAACUACAAAAGAGAUAUAUAAGAUUUAUAAAAAAUAUUAGAAUUACCGUGUCAGAUGAGCAAAUGAUGAAACAACCAAAAUAAACUUUAUAGAUUUUGACAAGUUAUGAAAUUUUAUAGUUGACAAUUUUUUCAUUUGAGUUUACCUUAUCAUUUAAAACUGAGUCUUUAUUUGAAAAUUUUUAAUUUUGAUUUUCUGAAAUUACCUCGGAUGAAAAAACUGACUAAAUAAACUUUGUAGGUCUCGAAAAGUUAUGAAACUUUGUAGUUGAUAACUUUUUGAUUUGAAAUCUUGUUGUCAUGCAAAAAUUAUGUUUAAAUUUCUCAAAUUUGAAAUUCAAAUUUUGUAAACGACCUCGGAUGGAGAAACUUUCUAAAUGAAAAUUAUAGAUCUCAAAAGGUUAUGAAACUUUCUAGUUGACAACUUUUUGAUUUGAAAUCGUUUAGAGGCUCAAAUAAUCAAUUUACAUGUGAUUUAGUAUGAUAUAUGAAGAACCAAAACGUAAUGUAAUCAUAUUUGAUGGUGUAGUGUAGUGGUGAAGGAGGGAGCUCUGUGACCUCAAGGUUGUGGGUUCAAAUCCUGGUUGUGGCAUAUUUGCUGAUUUUGUAGAAAAAAGCUGAAAAGGAGAUGGAGGAGGGUGCAGCUAGCGGGUGCUCUAAUGGUAGCCCAACCCCCAAAAAAAACAAUUUCUUUUUCUAUUUUUUGGCUUUUUUUUUAUUUUUUUCUUUGCCGAGUGUCGGCACUCGGCAAAGCCUUUGCCGAUUGCCCGAUAAAAAACGCUCGGCAAAGACCCCUUUGCCGGCCAGAAUUGUCGUGUGCUUUUUGCCGAGUGUGGCACUCGGCAAAGGCUUUGCCGAGUGUAUUUGAGCCUUUGCCGAGUGUUUUUGACACUCGGCAAAGCGGUCUGUCUCCCGUAGUAAUUUUACACAAAACUAUUAGUAUUUACUUUAUUAUAUAUUUAUUUUUAUAACUUUUGGUGUACUUCUAGCUAAUGGUAGCCCUACCCAAAAAAAACAAUUUUUUUUCUAUUUUUUGGCUUUUUUUUAUUUUUUUCUUUGCCGAGUGUCGGCACUCGGUAAAGCCUUUGCCGAUUGCCCGAUAAAAAACGCUCGGCAAAGACCCCUUUGCCGGCCAGAAUUUUGUCGUGUGCUUUUUGCCGAGUGUGGCACUCGGCAAAGGCUUUGCCGAGUGUAUUUGAGCCUUUGCCGAGUGUUUUUGACACUCGGCAAAGCGUCUGUCUCCCGUAGUAAUUUCGCACAAAACUAUUAGUAUUUACUUUAUCAUAUAUUUAUUUUAUAACUUUUGGUGUACUUCUAGCUAAUGGUAGCCCUACCACAAAAAAACAAUUUUUUUUUCUAUUUUUUUGGCUUUUUUUUAAUUUUUUCUCUGCCGAGUGUCGGCACUCGGCAAAGCCUUUGCCGAGUGCCCGAUAAAAAACACUCGGCAAAGACCCUUUGCCGGCCAGAAUUUUGCCGUGUGCUCUUUGCCGAGUGUGGCACUCGGCAAAGGCUUUGCCGAGUGUAUUUGGGCCUUUGCCGAGUGUUUUUGACACUCGGCAAAACGUCUGUCUCCCGUAGUGAUUUCACACAAAACUAUUAGUAUUUACUUUAUUAUAUAUUUAUUUUUAUAACUUUUGGUGUACUUAAUUUUAAUCUGUUCCGUUGAUAUUGAGACUAGAUGAGUAAAACACACUUAAAGUAAAUAUCUAUCCGCAUAAAUUACUUAUCCUAACACGUAAAAAAUUUUAUCCACCCAUAACCAUAUUUUUGUAGUCCGACUACUCGUAUCCACCAGUCGAAUAUAAUACCGUAUCCGCGGAUAGAAUCUUCUAAACCCAACCAAGGCCUUGUCUAAUUCUAAAAUAUUAUGUUAAGUUUUUCGCAUUUCCUAUCACAUCAAAUAUUAUAUAUAUAUAUAUAUAUAUAUAUAUAUAUAAAACACUAGAUAUAGAUAAAACAAAUAACUAAUUAUAUAAUUUAUUUAUAAUUUUUAAAUGUCAAAUAUAAAUAAAGUAAGGCCUUGUUUAGAUGAAAUGUUUUUGGAUUUUACUACUGUAGCAUUUUUGUUUGUUUGUGGUAAAUAUUAUUCAAUCAUGGACUAACUAGGAUCAAAAGAUUCGUCUCGUGAUUUACAGACAAACUGUGUAAUUAGUUUUUAUUUUCGUUUAUAUUUAAUGCUUCAUGUAUGUGCUGCAAAAUUCGAUGUGAUGGGGAAUUUUGAAAUUUUUUUGGUUUUUGGUGGAAACUAAACAAGGCCUAAGGCCAGUCUCAAUGGGGGUUUCACGAGGAUGUCAUGCACAUUUAUUAGAGCACCAUGUCAGCAAAACUGCACUUUUUGCAUGAAAUGAAGAGGAGAGAGAAAGAAGUAGUUUCACCAUGGUGAAACUCCGCUGGCAUUGUUUCCCACGCGGUGAAACAGGAUGAAAUUCACACUGAGGACAAAAUUGUUUCACCAUUUUGCAUGUGAUCCAAUCAUUUUGCAGUAAUUAAAUGUUUUGCCCAGCCUAGGAAACAUUAAGGUGAAACUCUUGCAUUGUAGAGGUUUUAUUAUUCGUUUUAUUGAUGCUCUGUCAGCGGAUUUUUUUGAAAACGGUUUCUUGAGAGUGGCCCUAACGCCGAAAGAAACCGGUUUCAGCGUCUCAUCAUCAUCAGUAAUCAUCAGGCGGGCCUCGAGCCCUCGUCGUGUCAGCCUGCCAACAGGUAGAACCGGCGUGCCGCCGAAAAGAUGCACCCGUGACCGUGACCUCCUCGGGAGUCGACACGCCGCACAGCCACAGCAGACGCACUCCCCAACAACCCAGUGCCACUCCAAUAAGGCCUUGUUUAGUUCGCAAAAAUUUUCGUUUUUGGCUACCGUAGCACUUUUGUUUUUAUUUGACAAACAUUGUCCAAACAAAGAGUAUCUAGGCUCAAAAGAUUUAUCUCACAAAUUAUAGGUAAAUUGUACAAUUAGUUUUUAUUUUUAUUUAUAUUUAAUGCUCCAUGCAUGUGACCAAAGAUUCGAUGUGACAGGGAAUCUUGAAAAUUUUUACGAACUAAACAAGGCCUAAAAGUGCCGCCUGCUCUCUACCUCUCUCUCUCCCUCCCCAGCUCUGCUCUGCUCCCGUCACAGCAGUACAGCCACAUCCCAGAGGCGGCGAGUCCUGUCCGGUGGCCAGCGGCGGGAAGGCCAUGGGCGGGGCUACCUCCCCUUCGCCAUGGAGGCGUCACUGCGCCCUCCACUUCCUCCUCCUCUUGUUCUGGUCAGUGCGCACUUCUUGCCAGUUGUUGUGCUUCUACUUUAUGCACUUUGGGUGGAUUUUCUUUUCUGUUUGGUUGCAGCGACGACUCCGGUUAGUUCGCGAACAUGCUGCCGCGACUUUCGCUCCAGCGAUUCAGUUAAUUGAUUCGUUGGAGUUGUGUUAUCUUGAAUCUUUUUUUUUUCUUUUUUUUAACGAACAGGAGGGUUUUUUUUUUGGCUAUUUUGUAUCUUAUUACUAGCAAGACUGUUGUAAGACUGAGUUAUUUUUAGCUAAAUGUUUGAAAUCUCUAGACCAAUGAAUUGUGUCACGAUAUUUUGAGAGACAUUUCCCAGUCACUGAGUAGCCUGAUUUGUAUGAGGAAUCGAGGAUAUGAAUAUGAUGAUCUGUGUUGAGCCUCGUGUGCCUGCUUUACAGUACAUGGUUGCAUCUCAAGCAUUUAUAGAGAAAACUAAUCUUACCCUAUCAUAACAACUUUAGAUUGUUCCUGAUUCUUACCAUAUACUGUACUCUAAUAUCCCCCGUAAUUGUAGAGUGAACAACGCGGACACUCGGACUGGAGUAGAAACCGACAGAAUUUUGCUCAAGUAGAUGAGAACCCUUUUGCUAGCCAAAUUGAUGCGUCAUGGAUAUUGCUGUGUAGUAGUUUUAGACCCGUGCACAAAAUCAGCUUGAUGAAUAUACAUACAUUGGUUCGUGUCCAACACUGUUUUUCUUUCCUAACUUAAUCUCAAUCAAGCAUUUAUGAAUAUGAUGCAAUGCUACUCUCAAAGUAGAAAAAAAACUACAGUUAGGUUCUGUAUAAUGAAGAAAUUUACUUACAGAGCUUCAAGAUUUGAUCUACUGUAACCAAAACAAAAGAAAACUGACUAUUACUUUGAUUUAUUCGUUUGUGUAAAUUUCAGGGGUACUUCCGAGGCAAAUGAAGAACAUGCCGUGUUACCUCCAAGAGGGUGGAACUCGUAUGAUUCUUUUUCAUGGACUGUAGACGAAAAUGCAUACCUGCAAAAUGCACAGAUCAUGGCAGAGAAGUUACUCCCACAUGGAUAUCAGGUUAUUCCCCUAACUCUUUAAUUUGGUGAAUGGUGAUAGAUAAAAACAUAAGAAAUGCGAUCCAGUAAAAUCGUGACGACUCGUUUAACGUUUUGUUCUGUCUCUAUGGAUAGUAUGCAGUUAUUGAUUUCCUCUGGUACCGGAAAUAUGUUGAAGGUGCAUACACAGAUUCAUAUGGGUUUGACAACAUUGAUGAAUGGGGUCGACCUUUUCCGGACCUUCAAAGGUUUCCAUCAUCUAGAGUUGAUAAAGGGUUCAGUCAAAUUGCCAGUAAGGUUCAUGGAAUGGGCUUGAAAUUUGGCAUCCAUUUGAUGAAAGGGAUAAGUGUGCAGGCUGUUAAUGCAAACACACCUAUCUUGGACAUUAAGACGGUACAGUUCUUCCUUUUAAUAUGCUAGUACAUGGCAACUAAAAGUUUUUAAUAUUAGCAUUUUACUUUGGGAAGUCUUGUUACAUUCAUUCUGUCAGGGUUGUCCAACUCUGCUAUUAAUCCUUGUUAACAUCAUGUUGUAUACCCAAAAACCAAUAAUCAUUGUUAAAGUUAACUUGUAUACACAAGAACCAUUCUUAAUCCUUUUUGAAUAUCGAGAUGAAAGAUGAUUUUAAAAUUUAAUUUUACAGGAUUAUCUUAUGUGUUGGAUAAAUUGUGUCUGAAACAUUAUCCUUUCUUGAGGUGUUUUUGAAACAUUGCAAAAUGUUGGAUAAACUGUAUCUUUGCUCAUCAGAAUACUGGUUCCCCUGGGCACCAACAAAUUUCUGAUUUACUUAUCUGUUCCAUUAUUCUUUAAUCUUGUGUGAAAUGUUCUUUCCCAUAGUAUUUUUUUAAUUAUCUAUACCAUAUGAUAUUUCUGUGGUUUCAUAUUAUCUGAUGUUUUGAAUGACUUAGCCACUGUGCUUUCUAGAUUCUUGAGUGUGUGGGUGUGUGUGUUGUAAGGGUUAUUACCCCUUUUUUCUUCUUAAUACAAAUAUGUGCAGCUCUCCUGCAUGUUUGACAAACAAAAACUGUGUUUUUUCUGUGAAAUUUGAACUUCUAUCUACAAUUGAACAAAUGACUCUUGGAAACAGGACAGCACACAUAGCCAUACUGAAAUGCAGAUAGAAGUUGCUGUACUCUAGUUUGAACUCUUAGAAUGGUCUCUUGUGAUUCUUUUCAGGGAAGGCCGUAUCUAGAGGAUGGCCGUCAGUGGACAGCACGUGACAUAGGCCUCAGUCACAGAACUUGUGCAUGGAUGACACAUGGAUUUAUGAGUGUUAAUACGGAUAUUGGAGCUGGACGGGCCUUCUUAAGAUCUCUUUAUCGACAGUAUGCUGAUUGGGGUGUUGAUUUUGGUAUGCUUAUUCUUUAGGUUCAUGGUUCUGUGGAUAGCAUACAUAUAUCUCAACUCUUAGUUGAACCUUUCCAUCUGCUGCCAAAACUAAGGAUUGAAUAAAUUCUUUCAUACUGACCAUUCUGUUUUGUUUGCAGUAAAGGUCGAUUGUAUCUUCGGCACAGAUUAUAGCCCAGAAGAGAUCAUCACUAUUUCAGAGGUAUAACUCCCUAUUUAUAAUUAAUUACACUAGUUCAUUGAAAUCAGAACACUUCUGGAAUCAGCUAAUUCCUAUAUUGCAGCUAUUGCAAGAAAUUGAUCGUCCGAUCAUCCUGUCAAUCUCACCAGGAACUGAAGUUACUCCAGCAUUAGCUGAGAAUAUUAGUGAUCAUGUUAACAUGUAUAGGAUAACUGGAGAUGAUUGGGACAACUGGAAGGAUGUGAGCUCACAUUUUGGUGUGUCGAGGUAAAUCGAACAGAUAUUUUCUUUUUUGUUCUGUUUCAUUGCAUGUAUACUCACUAGUUUUCAUACCUUGUAUACGUAUGUUGUGUAGUAAAGAAAAACUUAUUUAUUAUUUUAUUUCCCUUUGCAUAUUGUAUGCAGUUCCUUCGCUGCUGCUAAGAAGAUUGGGGCCACCGGGUUGCGAGGAAGAUCUUGGCCAGACUUGGACAUGCUUCCAUUUGGAUGGCUUACUGAUCCAAGUAUGAUUUAACUCUAUGUUAAGAAAUAAAACUAAUCUUGAUUGUUAUCUGGCUCUAGUGACUUUUAACAAUGAAGCAAAUUCACAAUAUUCAGGAGAAAAUGAAUCAUAAUUUUCUACUAAAUGCAUGUUAGUAAAUUUUUGUAUCAGUAAACAGAGUAAAUUUCAAAGUCAAAGUAGCAAACAAUAUGAAUGCAUGCUAUCCUUUCCAUCGUUCAAAUAUAUUCUUUGUGGCAACAAAAAUUCCAUUAAGGCACUGUGGACAAUGUCUGUCCCAGCUUGGUACUUUUUAGUAAUUGGGGUUGGUGUAUGAAAUAUCUGAAGUCUGCAUAGGAAAUGUGGAAAAUUUACACUUUUAUGGCAUUAAUUAUUCUCUUUAAUAGAAUGGUAUUAGUUUAUUUUAGCCAAAGAGGGAAACUGGUCUAGCUCAGUUGGUAGCAGGUGUGGGUGUAUUAAUUUAUUCAGCUACAUUUAACUCAUCUUCUUGAAAGUUUUCUUGAAUGGUUUGAGUACAUCAUAUAUCUUAUCUCUGUUUUUCUUUUCAUUCCCUUGUUCUUUUUCCAAGAAUAUCUUGAAUGAGAUAAUAUAUAUGCAGGUGUAUCAGAGACAGACUCUUUUUUCUUCUAUUAAUGCAGGUGUAAAUCAGGGCCCUCACAGGAAAUGUAACCUUACUCUUGAUGAACAAAAAUCACAGGUUGUUGAUGAUCACUUCAAAUUUAAGUGUUCUGUAUCUUUUUUUGUAUAGUAAUGAACUCCUUUUUCUUUGACAUGACCUUACAGAUGGCACUUUGGUCAAUGGCUAAAUCACCUCUCAUGUAUGGAGGAGAUUUGAGGAAUCUUGACGAUAGUACAUUAAACAUAAUUACUAAUCCUGCUUUGUUGAAGAUAAACCACUAUAGUAGAAAUAACAUGGAGGUACCUGCAUUGGAGACUUCCGAUUAGAAUGGUGUCUGCUUUGUAAGCACAAAUGAGUUGUAAACUGACCUGUAGAUAUUUUCAGUUCCAUUAUGUGUACAGUGAAAGGACAUCAAAUGAAGAACAUCCUGGUCACUUUAGGUCUCCUUAUCCUGUUCACCUUACCAAGAAUGAUGGCAUGUUUGUCAGUCUCACUACUUGCAGUGACGAUGCAGCUAAUGGAUGGUAUAUGUUUCCACAAGAUGGGAAACCAGAUCAUAUAUGCAGGAACUAUGAAAUACUGAAUGAUAAAAAUGUCUCAUUUUGCCUGGGAAAAACAAAACGUCUGCUUCCAUCGUAAGAUCCACCCUAUUAAUAAACAGAGAAGUGCUCACUCAAUGAUUUGUAUUAACACAUUUUAUACAUUGUAGGAAGAAGGAACACCUUUCCAAGUUUCAUAUUUCAGUUACAAACACUGAUGAUACUUGUUUGGAUGCAUCUGCUGGUCAAAGGCGGACUGCCUCAGAGAUCAGGUUUCCUAUGUUCUCUGCAUGCAGGUGGCAUGCAAAACAGGUAAGACCUCUACUGUCACCACCACCUUCCCAAUCUUUUCAAAGAGAAUAUUCCAUGAAGUGUUACUUACUGCACACAAAACCAAACACAUUACUAGUUAUGAAUUUCUGGGAGUGAGUACUAUCUAGUUGAACCCAAAAGCUUCCUCAUGCAGUCAUGCCUCAGACAUGGAAUAGGAGGGAGCAACAAUUAUUGUUUAUUUGAGACCUCUGGUUUCGGCCAUUUCAACCCCAAAGCUUAAGCUAUUAGGGAAAGAUGGGCAAUUCACUUUAUUUCAACUAGUAACUAUCCUGUUUGGCAACUGAACUUAUGGCAUUUGUUACACAUGAAUGAUGAAUGCAGAUGUGGGAGUUAAAUGCGAAUGGAAAUCUUGUGAGCAGCUAUUCAGGAUUAUGUGCCAAAGUGGAAUCAAGGGACGAAGGAGGUAUAUAUUACAUAACUUUGUUUGUUUUGAAUUACUUGAUAUCACUACAGUUUCCUAUGAAAUGUAGGUACCAGUGGAGGUCGUGCAUGGGUUGCAACUGGAAGUAAAGGUUAGUUAUCCAAGUAUCCUACAGGCAUCCUGUAAAUUAGUUUACUCUUGUGAGAAAUCUAAAUAUACGUCGAUUAGUAACAUACACAACUCUUUUAAUUGGCUCCUCUGCGAUAUAUGAAAACUUGCAACCACAAUUACAAUAUUUCCAUGUGGUACAUGUGCUUCUUCUGUGUUAACAAAAGGUCUUUUUUUUUGGGGCGAGGAUAACAAAAGGUCUUAUUGGUAGACUAUGAUAUUCUUAGACUGACCACAUGACACACAAAUCAUACCAAGACUGCAGGAUAGAGAUAUUGCAAGAGUGGAUAAUAGAGACCGAGGUUGCCUGGAAACCAUAUUUUAAUUUUUGAACAGAGAAUGCAGGAACUGAUUUUCAUAGUUUGAACUGUAAGGGGAGAAGUCAUAUUAUAGUCUCUAUGUGCCUAGCGCUAGAGGUAGUUCUUCCCCGGAAUAUGACUGAUUUCCAACUCACCAAUCCUGUAAGUCCAAAGUUUCAACCAGACACAUGACCAGUAGACCACCAUAGCUGUUCCUGUACUUCUUUUUACAAAUAUGCCUGAAUAUCAGGGUUAUGAUCAACUAUUAACCCAUUUCUAGGCAGACAAACCCUUGAGGGCCUGGAUGGUAUGGGGACAGAACUUUCUUUGUACAUAUUAGACGAUGUGGAUAAGCUUUUGUGCUUUAUUAUUUUCAUCACAAGGAAUAUACUACUUUACUACCAACACUCUCAUGGUGCAACUGGUCAGUUCAACACGCCAAAGAAGCUUGGCUGAGCCAGCCGGGUUCGAGUCACGGCACCAUCUUCUUGAGAUGAAUAUCAGGGGGACGUCUCUCCCCCUGGUCGAGUCUUUUUAUAUACUACUUUACUGAUAGUUUUCUAACUCCUUUUCAUAUUUCAGAUACGUUGAACUCUUCUUCCUCUGUUUUGUACAUACAUAAACCUAACAGAUCUACGUACCUUUAAAUUUAACAGUAAAUAGAAGUCACGAAAUAUUUGAAUCUCCAAAUUUAGCAGUCUGAUGUGUAUUUUGUAUUCCCUAUCGAGAUGGUUUCAGCUUCAAAUGAUGACCGUCUCAUCUUGACAUCUUGUUUCUAUUUUUGGGUAAUGCGUGAGAAAAUAUAUUUUGUCUGAGCUGUCUUCCAUGGUGCAGGAGAAAUCUAUCUUGCGUUCUUCAACCUCGACUCCGUGAGCAGGAAGAUGACCGUACAAAUAUCAGAUCUUGGAAAGGUUCUCAGAAGAACUUUUUUGAAAAAAGAGCUAUGCAGCUGCACUGAAGUUUGGAGCGGAAAGAAUUUCGGUCCUGUGAAGGAAGAGAUUUCAGCAGUGGUUAAUUCGCAUGGCUCCAUGGUGUUCGAAAUCACAUGUUGAGAUUGCAGUACUGGGCCAGUAGUUCGAGAAGUUCGCAGUGAUAAUUUGCUGUCAGCUCCAUUUCUAUUGAUCCUUUACUUGUAGGCAGAGGUGGAAUGGAUACGUUGAUAAACCAUUAACUAGAUGGCUGCUGGAUUUGACUGAAUGAAUAACAAAAGAAACAUGGGGAGAAAAUGAUGUUUAACUGAUCUUUUUUUUUUUUUUUUGCUUUAUGUCCUAAUGGACUCGGUGACUUCUAUUUAGUGGUACAAAGUUAAGGUAUUCAUAAUACCUGGUGAUCCUAAUUAACAGACAGAUAAACAUAGCACUACUAGGCAGGGAUGGGACGGGACGAGCAGAUUUUACAAGCAGCAGCAUCCCUGAAUGUUGCGAUCCUUUUGUUAUGUACGCCAGAGAGGAAUGGAUAUGGAAACCUGAAGCUCGUAACAGAACAAAUGCAAAGAAUGGCACCAGGCCACGAACACAGAAAAUUAAAAGCACUACACCACCGGCAACUAAUUAAAUUCACCGAGUCAAGGGAAUGCCUGUGCAUUCAGCCAACGAUAUUAACCCACCGCUAAAACAUUCCUAACGACCAUCUUAUAUGGAAGCCUGCUACUUCGACAUGCAAAGAUCAGCUACCACUAGAACAGUAGAACUACAUGGAAACCCUCUUCGUCUUCACUUCUUCACCGACACAAGACUGGGUGUCUAUGGAGCAGCAGGAGAGGAAUGCUGUAACCAAUCUUUUGCGCAGAACAGUGCCUCCAAGGUUUCAGGGUGCAGUGAGCUCUGGUAGUCGUCAAGCAUCUUGGCUUCCGUCCCAGCUGCGAACACGGAGCUGCCACGACCAACGGUGGACACCGGUAUUGCAAGGACAUCUUGGGCCAUCCUCGAGAGUGUUGGGUACCUGACGGCAUUAACCUUCCACCACAUCAGAAUGUCAAACUCCAGCAUGCGUGGGACCAGGGCUUCUUCCAAGUACUGAUCUAGCUCUGACUUUGAGAUCUGGCUCAGGGCUACCUCUGAAAGGUACGUGUCGAAGCCUGACAGUAGAUUGCCAGUGGAAGUAGGAUCUGUUGGAAUGUUGUUCUUAUUGUCAGGCAGAGCGCCAGUGACCUCUUGCUCAACAUGGGCUGGCGUCGACGGAAGUGGCUGUCUAACAUACUCUUUGUAGAGCUCAUGUACAGCAUCAUCCACCAACUUGACAUACUUAGAGCCCUUCAUCAGACCAUAGAUUUUGGAGUAACUGAACUCAACAAUCUUCAUUUUGAAACGGGGAUCCAUCACAACAGCAAUGGCCAGCACAACAUUGCAAUCUCUCCAAUACUUGUCAAAUAUCUCAUGCAUGCCUUUUGUGAUUGUACCGGAAAUAGAAUCUUGAUCAUCUGUGGCAUUUGAAAUCUCUCUCUGAAUUGUCCAAGCCUCAUGGAAAAAUAUGUUUGAAGUUGGAUCUUCUGUUGCCAUAAUGCUGUUUGCAGAGUCGUACAACAGCUUCAGAUACCUGCAAGCAACCUCGACUUUCUCCCAGUCCACUGCCGAAGGUGCUUGAUUGUAGUUAUCGUUACAUUUCUCCAGCAUGGUGAAUGCCUGCUUAUAAUCCAGAGCUGCCAGCAGCAUAAGAUAGGUGGUGUUCCACUGGGCUUUAAAGUCUAGACAUAGGGUCUGGUUACUAGGAAUUUGCAGUUGCAAAAUGAUGUGAGCAAACAUCUCCUCAUGGCUAACACAGGAUUUUAUGAACUUUAUACUUUCACGGAUUUUGUAGAUGGCACUUUGAACUGAAGCAGUGACAUCACUUGCAGCUGCAUUCAGUAUAUGGGCAUAGCACCUCACAACCAAAAAUUGCCCCCCAAGCAUCGGAAUAUUCUUUCUGGAGAGUUCCUCUCUCAAAUUCAAACUGUAGAUAUCAUGUGAGGAGGACUCAUAAUCUCCAGUAACGGUGAAGAGUUUGUCAGUCAUGUUCCACUGAGGAAGGCUUCUGCUGAUAGCUUCAGAAACUGCAUUCUCUGAACAACCAGGCCAAGGGACCAUCACAAAGUUGAGCAUUCUUCGGUGCAGCUUCCACUCAGAAUCAAUGAAUUGCCCUGCAAGGGAAACAUAUCCAAGAGUUUGGCUAGUGGUCCAAGACUGUACUGUGAGAUUUAUCCUUCCAGGAAUAUUUCCGACUUGCUUCAGCACGCUCUCUCUUUCCUUCAGAUAAACUGCAUAAACCUCUGCCUCCAUUGCGUCUGUAUUCACCACCUUGAAACUAGGCUGCAGGCCCUCAACAAAGGAUAUGAAGGUUGGCUGUUGAACAAUUAGCAGAGGGUAGUCAUGCAGAAUGAUCAUCUUCGCCAGGUAUGAUUUACUGCUGUCUGGAUUGAAUCGAGCAUUUGCAUAACCAGUACAAGUGCGGCGCCGCCUCUUAGAAGGCUUCUCUACAGUACCCUGAAAAUAAUUUUCUGUCCCUCCUGCUGCAGGUUCUUGAACUUUAAUCUCAGGGCAAUGACCCUGGGUAAUGUGCCUCUUCAGAUGGCUAGUGCCUGACAUUUUUGAUCCAGAACUGUAUGCAAAUAUGCCGUUACAAUGCUUGCAGCAAGCUCGUGUGCAUCCCUCAGAAUCUUCGGUAGUGAAAUGUUCCCAGACCAUGGACGUCUUUCUUCGGCGUUUUGAUGAGGUUUGUGGUUUCACCCCAGUGGUAACAUUGCCACUAGCUAUCUCACUACCUUGAACCGUCUGAUUACAAUGGAGGACUGUUUGGUCAUAGGGGACCAUCUCACCACCAGGAUCCACCUUGCUACCAACAGGGACAAUCUGGUUGCUGUGAACCAUCUUGUUAUCAUGGAUGUUGUCGACCAUCUUGUAACCAAGGAUCAUUUCGGCAUCAUGACCCAUCUUGUCACUGAUAAUCGCAUCACAGACAUCAACCAUCUCAUUGCCACCAGGGAAAAUCUCGUAGUCUUCGAACACUGUCUCAGUGCCAUGCACCAAGGAAGAGUCAUUGCUGUUUGGAUCACCCAUGCUUUGCUGAGAAUAAUAGCUAAAAUGGUUGGAAGAAAUACGAUCAAGUCAGAUAUAAUGUAGUCAAACUAGAACACAGACAACGGGUUAAAGAAGCUAUAAGUAAAAUGCAAUAUCUAUCUAGUGAAAACGUCACAGAUAUUUGCACAAUAUAAGUUUUUUCGAGAACAUGCGCUGCAUGUAUUUCAUUAAGCGAUUUGCACAAUAUAAGUUGAAUAUACAUUCAGCCAUUACAUAUUUACAUCACGUUUUUGUAUGAGAGAAUCAGUACCACAGCACUCAGUCGUUGUAUGAACUAACAAUGGUUCAAGGAAGUGGAUCCAAAUCACAAAUUCAUUUUUGUAAGCUAGCUACUCCCUCCAUUCCAAAUUAUAAUUCAUUUCAAGAAUCUUGGAAAGUCAAAGCAUCACAAGUUUGACAAUUUAUAUGAUAAAGUAAUAACAUUUAUGAUGCCAACUAAGGCAUUGUUUAGUUCCCAUCAAAAUCUAAAAAGUUUUUAAGAUUCCGUGUCGCAUCGAAUCUUGCGGCACAUGCAUGGAGUACUAAAUGUAGAUACUGUAAAUCGUGAGGCGAAUUUUUUGAGCCAAGUUAGUACAUAAUUGAACAAUAUUUACCAAAUACAAACGAAAGUGCUACAGUAGCGAAAUCCAAAAAGUUUUCACAAUUAAACAAGGCCUAAAUUUUUAUUAGAUUAUUCAUUAAUUAUAUUUUCAUAGUAUAUACCUAUUUGAUGUCACAAAUCUUUUUAGUUUUCUUUAUAAUUUUGAUCACAUCUUAGAUGCUUUGACUCUCCAAGAUUCUUGUAAUGACUUAUAAUUUAGAAUUGAGGGAGUAUUUAAAUAUGACAGAAUUUCUAGUCGGGAAGUAAUGUACUUGCCAACAAAAGAGGACGAUGUAGGAAAAAAAAAAUGGAACUGCGAGCAGAAAGCAUAUCGCCAUCCCCCAUAUACUGUCCAUUGCUUCUAUGCCAAGCACAUAUGCCAUUAUUUAGUUAGUGUCCAUCGCUUCUAUGCCAAGCACAUAUAACAUUGUUUAGUUGUUGAGUAGACACAGAGCAUUGAGAAUAAGAACUCUAACCACGUGCCGUGACAAUAACAACUCACACUUGUUGAACACGCAGAGGAACCAGACUGGCAGUAAGUUCACACGACACAGAUUAAACACAAGUCCAGAAAACACCAUACUAAAAAAAAAGAAAAUCAUUGCAUGCUUUUUUGGUUCGAGAACAAAUCGCAUACUGUUUCAUCUGAUGAUGAUGCUGAUGUUCUCCGACCACAUGGCGUCGUUGAUUAUAGCAGGCGAAAAUCAUAAACUGGAAACCAAUCGAAACGAAAAACCUCAGGGUCCAGCGAGCUACGACGAUCAUCGAACAGCUUCCUACCACUGCAACAAACACACACACACACACUACGGACAGACGAUACAGCGAUUCGGACCAGCAGGUACCAACCAAUGCAAUCAUCAAGCACAGAAAACCCCAUCCAACUCACACACCAUCGACGAUCGAUCUACCCGCCCUCCAUACAGUUUAAGGAAGGCCCAAUCCAAGGCAACGAUCACUGCAAACACCCCCCAGACCCAGCAAUCAAUCCGCGCGGAGGAAGAGGAACACACGAGGUGGGGAGGGAGAGGGCUUGCAGUUGGGUGCGGUGGGUUACCUUGCAGUGGAAGGAGAAGGGGGGGACGAGGUGAGGUCCAGGAAACCAGCCGGCGCGGCGGGGGGGCUACUACUGGAUCGGAUCGCGGCUCGCCUCGGCCCAGCAAGGAACAAACCCUAGAUCGUGUUCGUCGUCCUUUGAGUCCACUCCGUGGGCAGAAGAACGCGGCGGGGACGCGGAGGCUUUUAUGGGCUCGUUUCGUGUCCCAGCCCAUGACGGAGAGAGAGGGCGUGGUUCGCUCCACUUCCCGCUGACAGGUGGGCUUCCGGACCCGUUCUUGGUUUUGGAAACCUUUUUUUUUUCCUUUUGUUUCCGUAUAUAUAUAUAUAUGUAUCCUUUACGGUAGGAGUUUAUGCGCUUUUAUACGGAGCUAAACCGGCCAAGCCCAGACUGUCCAUAACUAACCAUAAAUAAAUGCCCCUCCGUCAUGUCGUAUAAUACCUUAGUUCACUUAAAGAUUCUCAGCCACAUGAAAUCUUACAAAAUAUAUAUAUAUAUAUAUAUAUAUAUGUAUAUAUAUAUAUAUAUAUAUAUAAAUAAAAAUAAAAACUAAUUAUACAGUUUGUCUAUAAAUUACGAGAUGAAUUUUUUGAGCCUAGUUAGUCCAUGAUUGGACAAUAUUUGUCAAAUAAAAAUAAAAAUACUAUAGUAUAUAAAAUAAAAAAAAUUCGGAACUGAACAAGGCCUACGAUACUUUUAAAACUAUAGUUUAUUUAUAUAGCUACUAUACCCAUCUUAAAUCAUAGUUCAAUUUUGAUUUUCAAGGCUAUAGGUUGUACCAUUUAUUUAAAUAUACGCUUUGUCUAGAUAAAUGGUUUGUAGACGAAAUGAUUAUCCAAAAAGGCUUCUACAAUUUAGAACGAUAAAUAUGAGAAAUACAUAUAGGGUUAUUACAAGUAUAUAUGUAUCUCGGAGAUAGUUAUAAGUCUGCUCGAGCGCUACCACUAGCGCAGCGAAGGGGCCGCCGGCUAGGGCUGGGGUUGGCCGUAUCUGCUCGCUACCGCCAGCACCCGAGCAGGGACUGCAUCGCGCAUGGGGCAGCUCCCGUGCUUGCUCGAAAUGGGCGUCUGGCUGGGGCUAGGGCUGCCUGCAUCCGCCGCUCGCCGCCACAGGGGUAGCGCUCGUCCCCAUCGGGGCCAGGGCCGGCCGCGCCCUCGACCGCCGGAGCCAAGGCCGGAGCUGCGUUGCCCCGAGGAUGCAUGGGGGCAUACGAUCGAGUGGAGGUUAGGGGCAAAGCUGCGCAGGGAGCUUGCACCGCCAUAGGGAGGUGCACCAUGCACCGGUUAGGGACUUAGGGUGGGGAUGUCUGCGUGAGGAAAGCCGCUCCGCCGGGGCCGCCAUCGGAGCGUGGCGGGCCACCGCCACGAUCAAGGUUGCAGAGGUGCGUGGUUGUGAGAUGUGGCCAUGAGGCUCCGCCAAUGUCGCGGUCGAGGUAGAGGACGCCGCCCAUGGUAGCUCCUCCACCGCCGCUAGUGUUGGAGCUGGCGAUCCAGAAACGGACCAAGGGGGGGCUAAAGAACAAGACGAACGUUUUGCUCGGUAAACACAGAAAUUGAUAAUUUGAUAUGGAUUCAAAGUAGUUGAAGUCAAAGAUACAUAGAAUUAAGGAUAGAAAAGUACCAAAUACAAGGAGUCUUUCAGCUUAAGAAUUGACACCACUUGAACCAAUACGACUUGAACCGCCACCCUCAAUGCUACAUAAUUUGCAAAUAUCAUACACUUCUUCAAUAAUCAAGAUAACAAGCAAAAAGAAAAGUAUUAAAACAAUACGCACCUUGGGACCUUGCGUGGCAAGUUUAUCUUAUGAUUUCUUAUGCCCUAAAAGCGCUCCAAAAUUUUGUCAUCUUCAAUAGAUACAAAGAAAUCCUGCUCAAUAUUUUUUCAUUCUAUAAAUUCAAACCAAUCAGUAAAUCAGUAAUUGCUUGAAUCUAAAUCUAGUCAGUAUUCAGUAAUGAAAAAAAAACAGAGGGAUCUUCUCACCUUGCUUGCACAAUCCCUACUCUAACCCUAGGGCAGUAGGGCUGGCUGGCUGCCUGCCUGGCUCUAGCGGCUGGCGCUGGCCACUGGCUCGCCGCCUGGCCGCACUGGUGGGCGCCCCGCGCCUGGCCUAGCCGGUGGCCGUUGGCUGGCCGGCUGCUGGCUGUCCUCCCUCGCGGCCUCGCUGUCCCGGCGGGCGGCGGCGGCGCGGUCCGUGGAGGCGUGGAGCAGCGAACCAGCGGUGGCCGGUGGCGUCCGCGCGGAGAGGGGAGGGGCAGAGGAAGAGCCAGGCAGCAAGCCAGCAAUGGCGGCGGCGGCGGCAGUAGAGCGGGGCAGCGGGCGUGCGGGAUGCGAGCGAGGGCGCGGCUGCGGGAUGCGAGCGAGGGCGCGGCCGUGCGUGAUGGGAGCUGGAUGCGAGACGCGUCGAGUUUUUUUUUAGGUUAACAAUUUUUGGGCCGGGCUGCAGAUCCGCUCCAAACAAUUUCGGCCCACGGGGGGGCAGCCCCCCGUCCGUCCGCCACUGGGAACAGCCGUCGAUAUUGGAGUUGAGGGAUGGGAGGGGAAGUCACACCGGCCAUGGAAAGACCUCACAAAGUCGAGAUAGGAAGACGACGUAGAUGGGAAGGAAAAGAAAGAAACGAACCAAUACGCACAAAACCAGUGGCAGGUGGGUAAAUUUUUACCCCAAAUUAAAGCAGCUGAAAGAAGGGGGUUGACAUGCUUUGAGUUUUGUACUAGAGUAAAAAUAGCUUUUGGUCUAAAGCGGCUAUGAUUUUUCACCCUUUCGAUUGGCUUUUGGCUUUUACAAAAGGAAAAAAGAAGAUUAAGAUGCCCAACCAAAGGAGAUUUUAUAAUGUAGAACCAAUGGGCUUAAACUAAGAGCAUCUCUAAGAGUUGUUCUAAAUUCAUUUGUUUCUCCUAUUUUCACAGCAUUUAUAUAUUCUCUCCCAACAGUUUCUUUAUCUCAAAUAACACAUAGGGUGAAAACAUAUUACACCAAAUCUGAAGGAGAUGGAGAAGGACUUGGGAAAUAAAAAAAGGAAAAAUAUACUUGAUAGGAGAACAGGUAAAAAUGACUUUUGAUAGGUUAGGUAGGGAAACUAUUAGAGAUGCUCUACCUUAGGCCGUUCUUCUGCUAUAUAUCCCAUUCACCUAUUCCUUUUUAUAUCAUGACAUAUGGGACCCAUAUUUUAGUGAGCCAAUUUAUUCUUUUUACUUCUUUUCAUAUAUAUCCUUGGUUAGUUGCCAACUGGCCAUGGAGUAGUAGUAUGGGGAUAAGUGGAAAAAUGGCUCCUUUUCUCAUCAGGUUGUCCCUUAGUACCUUUAUCAAUAAUGAAGGGAUCAUGACGUCUUUCUCUAACUAUGCCCCCUAAUUUCCAACCUUAGAGAAACGCAUGUAAUAAGUAAACUAUCUAAAUGUGCAACUAUGAUUCUGCUAGGUGUGUUGAUAUCUCUACCGCAAAAGGAUUAUGCAACCUACAUUCCAAUCCUACCAACUAGCCAACAACUAAGGUAGGAAAGGCAAAUAACACAACCAAGGUAGCAAUGUAAAGCAAAAGCUUAACUGAGAUAGAAAUGCAAACUCCUGUCGAUGACUCUGAUAUUUUUACCGAGAUAUCAAGAAGCGCGCAAGCAGUUUCCCCUAUUCCUUGUUGGACCCUAUAUGACACCCUUUGUUUUUUAUCACGAUAAAAUUCACUAAAAAUUUAAACUUUUGGAAGUUUACAACAAAUUAAAACUUGAUUAGUUUAUUUCCCUUGAAAUCAUUUUAUUGAAAGUGUUUUUCCAAAAAACCUUGCAUUAAAA